Molecule: long non-coding RNA, 65300 nt
Filed under: Triticum aestivum (bread wheat)
Lineage: Eukaryota; Viridiplantae; Streptophyta; Magnoliopsida; Poales; Poaceae
Description: long non-coding RNA (TAES_LNC021463)
Source: RNAcentral
UUUGAGACAAUAAUAGACGGUAAGUUCUGUAUCUGAAUGUGUGUAUAUCAUUUUGUGAAGUAGUUCAUGGUGGCUGAUUGCAUGCCAAAUCCAAUUUGUAUUUAGUAGGGCUGGCAUGUGUGGGGUCAUCACCACCACAAGGUUUUAGAAGCACUUCGCAAGCGCGAGGGAGUCAUUGCGUCUGAUCAAGUUAGGUCUGGUGAACCCAGAUGUGCUUCUAUUACCUAAUUCUGUACGGUCAUUCUAUACAAUGUAAAUGAUGCCAUGCUAACUCAAAUUGAUGGGUGGCCUGCAAUGCAGCCAGGUCAGAUGGCAAGCUGCCAUUGAACAUGUCGGCAGCAGAAGGCAUUAGGAGGCGGCAGAAGAGGUGUGCAAACAGGGGCAGCAGGCAGUAUCGUCAGAGGAGAUGCCUAACGCGAUCAAGCAGGCAUUUGUCACCUCGAAAAGCUCUGAUGAAUAUGAAGAUCCGGCUGCAAUCAAGCUACAGGUAUUGGCAGAGCUGAACUUUAGCAGUGAUAUUUGUUCACUUUGGAAAAUAGUAGUACUAAUCAUUAUGUUUGUCAAGUGCCACACCCAGGAAAGAGGACAAAGAAGCAAGCAGGGCCUACUCCAGCAAGGCCAACAUCAGUGCCCAGAACUGCUUCUCAACCAGUUGGAAGGGGAAGCCGGAGGAGUCACAACAGGGCAGGUUGAAGCUCCAGAUAGCCUGCUCCAGGAGUUCAAGCUCACAGCAAGUCCGAAGGCAUAACAGCACUGGGGAACAUUGAAUGCCUAGCUUUGCUUCUCAAUCUGUGUGCAUUUUGUUCAUGUGAAAAUUAAGUCUCCAGCCCUUUGUGGAUGCACCUAGGAGCCAUUCCCAAUUUCCGCCUUUUAUGGAUGUUUAGUAUUGUCAAAGACCUUAAGCAUUUGUAUGGUUACUUAUGAGUAAGGAUUAUUAUGUGACCUGAAGCUUAUCUGAAAGUGUGAUAUGCCUGUCAAUUUCUUAAAGUGCCAUUGCUGUAAAUUUAUUCUGAAUUCGAUGUCAAUAAUUUGUACAGUUCCGGUUAACUUGUGAAUUUGCUGAGUGAAAGUCAUCGAAAACAUGAGCGAACAGAGACGGUCAUCGCAUAUGCGUGGGCGUGGCAUACAUGAUGACUUAUUUGACCGCAUGUCGGGUGACAGCAUGGCAACUGAAGGGGUUUUCUGUGAAGUCCCAGCCCAGUUCUUUUAGUCAGCUUCUAGUGCUGCUCGCCGGCGCCUGGCCAGCUUCUAGUCAGCUUCUAGUGCUGCUACUGGCCGGUUCCAUCUCCGUACUGCAUGCUGCUUGUUGCUUGAGCUCGCCGCACUGCUGCUUCUGCUGCUCGUCGCCACAAGCAGACUAGGCUUCCCCAGAUCGCUGGCGCAAGCAUUGCGGCUGCUCGACGCCCGGCCGGUGCAUACUGCCGCAUGCCGAUCGCCGCAUACUAGAUUCUGCUGGACAUAGACCGAUAGACGACGGACGACCUGGGAGGCUCGAUCGGUUACAGCCGGCGAUCGAGGAAGAUAUGUAUCAGUCCAGGCCUCCAGGGCCUCCGUAGGUCGUCGCCGCCACUGCCCAGGUUUUUUAGAAAAGGAGGAAUCACCCCCGGCCUCUGCAUCUGGGUGAUGCAUGCGGCCAUAUUAUUUAUUAUUCACAAAGACCUUACAAAGUAAUACAAUAGUAAGCCCGAGGCCACCAUCUAGACGACACCUGUCGUUACUCCUAUCCCCUUGAUGAAGGUGUGCUGAAUGUCCGAGCCAAAUACGAAACAGACAUCGCACGAAAGUCUAACAUCUAACGCUGGAUGCCCCAUCCAAGCCACAUAGGCGAGACUGGGUAACACUCCGGUCCGGCGCACUCUCAGUGAGUACCACAUGCACACGCUGCAAAGGGCCGUCACCUCCGUCUUCCCUCGAUCCAUCCUCAAAGCAUGUACUGACGCAUCUACCUUGUCAGGCCACUCUGCCAUCGACGCCACCACGACGUCAGACAACGUCGACCUCCUGCGCGUGUCCCUCGCCACACAUCUGACGCCAAGCCUCCACUGCUCCAUGCCGUCGAGAUCCGUCGUCAUGAAUAUGUACAAAGAAACACCGCUCCACCGCAGAUGCCAUCCACUGGUCCCUCGAGCCAGUGCAUCUCCAAGAAUGCCGCCCCCAAGGGGGUAACGACACAUGAAUGCCGCCGUCAUCCGAUCAACUGAUCUAGGGUUUUCCCGGGAGGUAUUGGGUGGGGUUGGGAGCUUCACCUCGAUGAUGCCUUCAUGAAGGAAAUGAUGAUAAGACCAUCGUCGUCACCGGCUCCAGCCAAUGACCGAAGGCCAAGUUUUCACCCGGAUCCAUUCCAAGAAAUCCACCCGACAACUUGUGCACUAUCUCGACCGCCUUCAAAGCCCCAGAUCUAGCCGCCUAGAUCCGGCGACCAACCGCAACAGCAGUGCCACCGUAGGAGCCCUGGCACACCAGCCACUGCCUGAAUGCGCCACCACUGGAGCCUGGGAGGAGGGCUCCCACCCCACCUCGCCAACCCGCGAGAGCCGCCGGGAUGGAUCCCCCACGCUCAUCACCGUCUCUGAUCUGAACCAAUCUGUGGCCAAACCACAAGAUCGUCGAUGCGGAUCCGCCUUGGAUAGGGACUGCACCACGCCAUGCCACCGCGGGAAGCCUGAGCUUCACUCGCCGCCACCUUCCAGCGCUGCCGCCCCGGGAUCCAGCCGCCACCGACAGGACGCGCCGCCCACGUGCAGCAGGCCGGAGGAGCCCCCCGAUCCANNNNNNNNNNNNNNNNNNNNNNNNNNNNNNNNNNNNNNNNNNNNNNNNNNNNNNNNNNNNNNNNNNNNNNNNNNNNNNNNNNNNNNNNNNNNNNNNNNNNNNNNNNNNNNNNNNNNNNNNNNNNNNNNNNNNNNNNNNNNNNNNNNNNNNNNNNNNNNNNNNNNNNNNNNNNNNNNNNNNNNNNNNNNNNNNNNNNNNNNNNNNNNNNNNNNNNNNNNNNNNNNNNNNNNNNNNNNNNNNNNNNNNNNNNNNNNNNNNNNNNNNNNNNNNNNNNNNNNNNNNNNNNNNNNNNNNNNNNNNNNNNNNNNNNNNNNNNNNNNNNNNNNNNNNNNNNNNNNNNNNNNNNNNNNNNNNNNNNNNNNNNNNNNNNNNNNNNNNNNNNNNNNNNNNNNNNNNNNNNNNNNNNNNNNNNNNNNNNNNNNNNNNNNNNNNNNNNNNNNNNNNNNNNNNNNNNNNNNNNNNNNNNNNNNNNNNNNNNNNNNNNNNNNNNNNNNNNNNNNNNNNNNNNNNNNNNNNNNNNNNNNNNNNNNNNNNNNNNNNNNNNNNNNNNNNNNNNNNNNNNNNNNNNNNNNNNNNNNNNNNNNNNNNNNNNNNNNNNNNNNNNNNNNNNNNNNNNNNGGACCUGACCGCGGAGGACAACCACGUGCGUCACGGAGGCUAGCUCUCACGUGUGUUGCUUGUGUUGCAUAUCUGAGUUAUUUAUCCAAAACCACCACACUUAAAGCUAGGAUAACAACUUAGUAUCACAUUUAAGCCAGGGCACAAAAAACCAUCAGAAAUACGCCUAAGAGCAAGCACAAUAGGAUGAUGUAUGCAGGAUGUAAGACUUUAAAUAUUAGAGUUGGCAGAGAGAGAAGACAAGCGGGCUUCUAACUAACAGCCGGCUGUAGCACAUGCUCCUAGACAUUUUGUGAGAGAGAAAGGUGGGCCAUGUAUCAACUAGUACAAACUUAUAUGCAUCUAUUACACUUGCCGACUAUAACGUUGGCUAUAUUAUUAACCAUGCUCUAGUGCGUAACGCAGAGCACAAAGACUAGCCACAAUGGGUAGUAAUAUAGAGUAGUAACAUGGGUCUCUAUAGUGGGGAGUAACAUAUGUGUGGUAACAUGCAACACUUCAUUUAUUAGGCUAUAGACUCAUCUUGCCUUGAUAUGUGUGAUGUUACUCAUACUAGUAGUAACUAGCUAUGUUACCACAUGCCUCUCUUUUUUCAUUUAUUGCUUGCCAUAUUAUCUAUUUUAUCUAGAUAUGUGUGAUGUUACUACCUAUGUUACUCCUAUUGUGGGUAGUCUAAUAGUUUGAUUUGCCCAUGAAAAUAGCGAAACCGACAGGUUGGCCCCAUUUGUCGGGCUGACGUGGCCUGCCAAUGUGGAUUAUUCGCUGAGGUGGCCCAAGGCCCCACCUGUCAGAUGCAUCUCUUCUUCCCCUCUCUUCCCUAAAAAUACUCCACCACAGCCAUAUCCUGCACCGCUGCCGGAGCUCAACCCCGGCGAGCCACCCCACCACCGGCGAGCCGCCCCACCACCACAUACCAUCCGUGUCGAACCGCCCUGCUGGAGCUCGAUCUACCUCCAUGGAAGGCGGAUGCAACAUCAGGCACCAGCGGCCGCUCGGAUCCGUCUCGCAUCCACCCCGCCACCCAAACUGCUGCCUGGCGCCGGCGCCGAGUCGAAGAGGAGGACGACUACAUGAGAACUCUCCUUGUGUGUUCUUGCUUCCACCGCCACUUGCUGCUAGCUUGAGUAGGCGCACGGCCUAGGACUCUUGGUGGACGCGGCGAGCACGGGCAUGGCCAUGGUGCUCCAUGACGGCGCGCGCGGCCAAGGUUUCCCGGUGGACGCCGCGAGUACGGCCAUGUCCAUCGCGCUCCACGACGGCGCACGCGGGCAUGGCCUCCCAACGAGCGCCACAAGCACGUGCGUGGCCAUGGCGCUCCACAACGGCGGGCGCGGCCACGGCGCGCGCAAGUUCCCUAGGAAAGCUCGACGGAUCCAAGCACGUUGAGGGCUGGGGCAGCGCGGCGACGACGGGGCAGCGCAGCGAUGACGGGGUAGUGCAGCGAGGUCGAGUUCAUCCAUGGCAGCUGGCAUGGCAGCAGGUUCUUGUUUGAGAGAGAGAGACACGAGGAAUGAAGGAAAAGAAAGGGGCGGCGAGAGGAGCUCUAGCGGCUUGACAGUGGCAGCCAUGUCUGGGAUUACCGCCGACCAGCGGCUUGAUAAGCGCACAUUAGCUGUUUGAUGAAAUGCCCAGGAAGAAAAUGCCUAGGAGAAAAAGAAAAAAAGGAAAAAGAGAUAAACACUCGAGUCAUUGACAGGUGUGACCCUCGUCCAACUCAGCAAAUUGUCCACAUAAGCACGCCAUGUCAGCCCGACAGGUGGGCCCCACCUGUCAGUUUUGCUGUUUUCACGACUAAAUUCCAGCAUCAGUGCUCCGUGUUACGCAUUAGACGCAUUUUUUGUGGUUUUUUGUGCCCUGGCUUGAAUGUGGUAUCAAGUUGUUACCCUAACUCCAACUGUGGUGGUCCGCCUGAGCAAAUCGAUCUGUCGGCUGUCUGCGAAUAUGUGCAGCUACCUCACCUACUCCCUCCAUCCAUGAAUAAGACCUCCUCCAAUGCACUAGUGCUAAGAUAAGGUGCUAAGCACAUUAAAAAUCUAAGCAACUAAAGUCCCCAAUGCAAAGGUGCUUGGCUUGUUGUUGCUAAGCAUCCUUUAUUUAAUGAUUUAGCAACUAAAGCUGUCCAUGCAUUGGUGGGAUUCUUUCAUUUAAGUGUUUUCCCUAGGUUCCCGCGCUUGGCAUUGUGUUGACACCAGAUUUUGGCAUGGUCACGAAUCAGGGUUCGUAUGCAAAAGUUAGAGGCAACACUUCGCGGGCCGGCCCUGAGUGAGAAAGUAUUCGGCCUUUGCUGGCUGAAUGAAACCUUGUCGGGGUAAAACCUUGCCGAUGUGAGGGCUUACCGAUGUGGAAAGCUUGCCGGCGGAGAAGCCUGCCGGCGUGGAAAGCUUGCCGGCGAAGAAGCUUGCCGGUGUGAAAUCUUGUCGAGGGAGAAACCUUGCCGAAGAGGAACUCUUGCCGGGGUAGAAUCCUUGCUGAGGAGGAACUCUUGCUGGGGUAGAAACCUUGCCGAGCUAGGGAGAACCCUUGCCGGUGUAAAAACCUUGCCGGGGUGAAACCUUGUCGGUGCGGAAAGCUUACCCGGGUGGAAGGCCUGCCGGGGUGGAGGUUGUGAUAGUCAAUCCGACCAGAAGCUGAAGAUGGGCUCAAAUGAUUAUCUAGAUGGACUCAAAUGGAGAAGUGAUCUACAUGAAAGAGUUCCGUAUUAUUGAUAUGAACAUCUUUGAAAUUUGGGUUAUUGCCGUCGGAUUUCAUCUCGAAGGCCGAAACUAUGCUCGAAGUACCAAGAUCUUAUAUUCAAAGUACAGUUUAGCUGAUUAAGCCCCCAAGACGACCUCAAAUGAAAAAAAGAUCUACAAGGGUUGUCUUCGUCUCGUCGAAACGAUCGAUUUUGAUAUAAAAAUUGUUCAAAUCCGAGUUCGUAUGUAAAAGUUAGAGUAAUCGGAGUGCAGCCCUGUCACGAGGCGAGACGUGGCGCGCCCCAUCAGACACAUGUCUGACGGGUAGCGCGAGGAGAUAGCCUGUGUUGCGAGACCGAUCUGACCCUCAAGAUGAUAUCUGAUCAAAAAACCUUCAACAUGAAAGUUGUUCGUCUCAUCGAAACGGUUAAGAUUGCUUUUGGGCUUGUUUUCAUCCGAGAUCGUUUACCACCGCAAAAAGGACCCGCAAGGUGCAGCCAGUUUAAACCGAACAGUUUUGGAAAGUUCGGAUAAAACCAGUCCGAAUUUGACUAGGGUUUUGGACGUGAAUUGAUAUAAUUUUCUUGUAAGGAAAGCCUAGAUAAAUUCUUUGCUUGUACAGGAAGUCCAGCCGCCUCUUAUAUAUGUUGGGGGUGACGGCCGAUUGAAACAACACCAAUCGAAUCAAUCUAUCAAUUACACUUUUGUGUUCAUCUACUUUUACUCCUUACCCUUGUAUCUUUCUUUCUCGUUCUUCCUUCGUUCUUCGCGUUGGAGGGCAGCGAUCCACGAGGCUCUAGGGGUGAGCGAAUCGACCUAGGGCAGCCCAUAGCCGCCGCAAUCCCUGACGGGGUCCCUCCCGGGUGCGCGGGGUUUCGGGUCUGCAAAAGCGCCCGCCGGCUGUCCUGCGUAUCGCGCUGUUGGUCGGGUCUCCUUCGACGUGAGCUGCGGUGCAUCACCCCCGGCGUCGAGGGUACACAGGACGUGUUCGUGUGUCAACACACUUUUUGGCGACUCCGCUGGGGACGAAGCUUUGAACAGCCUCCAACCUGUUCUUGCUACGAGGGGAGCGUCAUCAAGCGGCUGCAAUCUACAACGGUAACAUGUAUCAUCAAUCUCCUUGCAUAGAUGCAAGUAGCCAUUAUGUUGAUGUUGCUAGAUCUUUCAACGGACAUGUGAUGUCGGCCAGCCCUAAUGAGCAAAGGCCGACUAGUUAUUCCAUUGGAGAAACUUGGAAUUUACAGAAUCGUAACAUGCAACUUAUGAAUCUGAACUUUCGUGCAUCGGCAACAUCUUUCAAUAUGCCGGUGAACAACACGAUUUGUUCGAGUGAUCAAUAUAGAACACCUCAUGUACAGGAGGGCAUCUCAAAGUUUUAUCCAUCGGCAACCGACUCGCAAUAUGCGGGUUCAUCCCCAAACAUGCCGAUGAAUGGGGGAAUCGGCCAUGCUUAUGUUAGCUAUUUGGCCAGUUAUCCUCAAACAUCAUAUACUACACCUCAUCAGAUUAAUUGUUCAGUGGCGUAUAAAACUAAAAAUAUUCAUGACUCAGCUCACCUUCACGGUCAUGGUCGAGUGAAUGGAGAUUCUAUAAGAGCAUAUGUGCCUAAUAUUGCAGGAGAUGAGGUGGCUCUGGCUGCAUUAAAAUUUUUAGCCCAAAAUAAGAAGAUUAGUGCUAUUUGCCUUGAGCAACAUGACAAGGGAUUGGUUCCUGAUUAUGAGGCAAUAAGAGCUAGGGUUUUGAAAGAAGACCAAGUGUUGCCGAUUGAUCAAAUUGUCGAGAGAAAAUAUUCAACAACGAUGCACAUGCCUUCACCUAUCAUUGCAGCAUGUUAUACACCCCCUAUACAAGCGCAAAAUUUCGGCAACAUCAAUUCAUUGCUGAAAAAUCCUAAAAGUAUUGGGGGGGCAAGCCGAUCCAAGCAGGGUUGAGUUUAAAGAAAAAUAUCUGGCCCAAGUGGACAAGAUCAAGCCAAAGCUCACAGGGAAUAGAGUCAACGAAUUUACUACACCUACCCUUGAGGAAUUACUAGCAGAAUAUCGAAAGGCCUACGAAGCACUUAAGAAGAAGCAUGGAGAGGGAUAUUUGCAAGAAUACGUCAAGUGCCUUCCUCCAUGUAGCAACCAUGUUGGCCCUUCUACACUGUUGAGGCAAGAUAAAAAAGAAGCUUUACAAGCAAACUAGCAAAAAAGGAUUCACUCGGCUAAUAUGGUGGAUUCGGUUGAAACCGGAUUGAGCAACGGGAUGUUUAAGGCCAAGUGCGUUGCAUCAUGCCGACCGAGUGCAUCGUUCCAGACGAGUGCAUCACCAGCUAAAGCCGAGUGCAUCAAGCCAACUAUUGCCUCGUGUACCAAAAUAGAAGAUGCAAGCUUGGCUGAGCAAAGGAACGACAAACGCAACAAAUUGGUUGUGCUCAAUUUUUCUGGAUGUAAGGAAGCUUACAUGCUACCUUAUGAGUUUCGUGCUAAAGAUAUUGAUGAGCAUCAAGAACACAGUAAUAUGGCUGAACACAGUUCAGUUAACGAUGAACAUCAAGACCAAGAAAAUGCAGCCAAGCAAAGUUCAACUGACAAAGAGCGUCCGAGUGAAAUCCACUCGGGCAAUCCGACUGAAAUAUACUCGGGCAAUCCGAGUGAUGAGGCACCAGAUCUAGAAAAAGAGGAAGAGGCGUUGGAAAAUUAUUCAGAAGUGGUUCGUACUAGAAGGGGUACUCUUUGAGGUCCUUGGUGUUGGUUGAAUAGAUGAGAUUGUGUGACGCAUAUCGUAUAAUCAUACCCACGGAUACUUGAGGUGACAUUGGAGUAUCUAGGUGACAUUAGGGUUUUGGUUGAUUUGUGUCUUAAGGUGUUAUUCUAGUACGAACUCUAGGGUUGUUUGUGACACUUAUAGGAAUAGCCCAACGGAUUGAUUGGAAAGAAUAACUUUGAGGUGGUUUCGUACCCUACCAUAAUCUCUUCGUUCGUUCUCCGCUAUUAGUGACUUUGGAGUGACUCUUUGUUGCAUAUUGAGGGAUGGUUAUGUGAUCCAAUUAUAUUAUUAUUGUUGAGGGAACUUACACUAGCGAAAGUAUGAACCCUAGGCCUUAUUUCCUAUCAUUGCAAUACCGUUUAUGCUCACUUUUAUCACUUGCUACCUUGCUGUUUUUAUAAUUUCAGAUUACAAAUACCUUUAUCUACUAUCCAUAUUGCACUUGUAUCACUAUCUCUUCGCCGAACUAGUGCACCUAUACAAUUUACCAUUGUAUUGGGUGUGUUGGGGACACAAGAGACUCUUUGUUAUUUGGUUGCAGGGUUGCUUGAGAGAGACCAUCUUCAUCCUACGUCUCCUACGGAUUGAUAAACCUUAGGUCAUCCAUUUGAGGGAAAUUUGCUACUGUCCUACAAACCUCUACACUUGGAGGCCCAACAACGUCUACAAGAAGAAGGUUGUGUAGUAGACAUCACCGACAUUCUCCCUCUUUAUGUAAACCUUGUAAAAUAAGAGAGAGCAGGCAUAAGUAUUGUGACAUAAUGUGUAAUAACAUCCCAUAAUGCAAUAAAUAUCGAUAUAAAAGCAUGAUGCAAAAUGGACGUAUCAGUGGGCCGGAUGACUAAGAGUCGUCGCGGCAAGCUCUACAUCAACGACGAUGGCUGGGGCCCCAAGGUCGGCUCAAUCGAGUACGGGUACCGGGUCCCCUUCGGCGGAAUCUGCAGGAAAUAUGCCCUAGAGGCAAUAAUAAAGUUAUUAUUUAUUUCCUUAUUUCAUGAUAAAUGUUUAUUAUUCAUGCUAGAAUUUUAUUAACCAGAAACUUGAUACAUGUGUGAAUACAUAGACAAACAGAAUGUCACUAGUAUGCCUCUACCUGACUAGCUCGUUGAAUCAAAGAUGGUUAAGUUUCCUAGCCAUAGACAUGAGUUGUCAUUUGAUUAACGGAAUCACAUCAUUAGAGAAUGAUGUGAUUGACUUGACCCAUUUUGUUAUCUUAGCACUUGAUCGUUUAGUAUGUUGCUAUUGCUUUCUUCAUGACUUAUACAUGUUCCUAUGACUAUGAGAUUAUGCAACUCUCUUUUACCGGAGGAACACUUUGUGUGCUACCAAAUGUCACAACGUAACUGGGUGAUUAUAAAGGUGCUCUACAGGUGUCUCCAAAGGUACUUAUUGAGUUGGCAUAUUUCGAGAUUAGGAUUUGUCACUCCGAUUGUCGGAGAGGUAUUUCUGGGCCCUCUCGAUAAUGCACAUCACUAUAAGCCUUGCAAGCAUUGUGACUAAUGAGUUAGUUGCGGGAUGAUGCAUUACGGAAUGAGUAAAGAGACUUGCCGGUAACGAGAUUGAACUAGGUAUUGAGAUACCGACGGUCGAAUCUUGGGCAAGUAACAUACUGAUGACAGAGGGAACAACGUAUGUUGUUAUGCGGUUUGACCGAUAAAGAUCUUCGUAGAAUAUGUAGGAACCAAUAUGAGCGCCCAGGUUCCGCUAUUGGUUAUUGACCGGAGACAUGUCUCGGUCAUGUCUACAUAGUUCUCGAACCCGUAGGGUCCGCACGCUUAACGUUCGGUGAUGAUCGGUAUUAUGAGUUUAUGUGAUUUGAUGUACCGAAAGUAGUUCGGAGUCCCGGAUGAGAUCGGGGACAUGACGAGGAGUCUCGAAAUGGUCGAGACGUAAAGAUCGAUAUAUUGGACGACUAUAUUCGGACAUCAGAAAGGUUCCGAGUGGUUCGGGUAUUUUUUGGCAUACCGGAGAGUUACGGGAAUACGGGGGAGAAGUAUUGGGCCUAAUGGGCCAAGUGGUGGAAGAGAGGAGGCAGGGUGCGCGGCACCCCUAGCCCAAACCGAAUUGGACUAGGGGGCCGGCCCCCCUUUCCUCCUUUCCUCCCUCUCCUUCCUUCUCCCCUUCCCCCUUCCUUUCCUCCUCCUAGUAGGAGUAGGAAAGGGGAGUCCUACUCCUACUAGGAGGAGGACUCCUCCUCCUGGCGCGCUAGAAAGUUGAUCCUUUAUAUACGGGGGCAGGGGGCACCCUAGAAAGUUGAUCAUUGAUCCCUUAGCCGUGUCUCCACCAUAAUCCACCUCGAUCAUAUCGUACCGGUGCUUAGGCGAAGCCCUGCGUUGGUAGCAACAUCAUCACCGUCAUCACGCUAUCGUGCUGACGGAACUCUCCCGUGAAGCUCUGCUGGAUCGGAGUUCGUGGGACGUCAUCGAUGUUAUAUGCACGAGUAGAACACAAGUGAGUUGUGGGCGAUACAAGUCAUAUUGCUUACCAGCAUGUCACACUUUGGUUCGGCGGUAUUGUUGGAUGAAGCGGCCCGGACCGACAUUACACGUACGCUUACGCGAGACUGGUUCUAUUGACGUGCUUUGCACACAGGUGGCUGGCGGGUGUCAGUUUCUCCAACUUUAGUUGAACCGAGUGUGGCUACGCCCGGUCCUUGAGAAGGUUAAAACAUCACUAACUUGACGAACUAUCCUUGUGGUUUUGAUGCGUAGGUAAGAAUGGUUCUUGCUAAGCCCGUAACAGCCACGUAAAACUUGCAACAACAAAGUAGAGGACAUCUAACUUGUUUUUGCAAGGCAUGUUGUGAUGUGAUAUGGUCAAGACGUGAUGAGAUAUAAAUUGUUGUAUGAGAUGAUCAUGUUUUAUUGAAGUUGUCGGCAACUGGAAGAAGCCUUAUGGUUGUCUCUUUAUUGCAUAAGAUGCAAGCGCCAAAUAAUUGCUUUACUUUAUCACUAUGCGAUAGCAAUAGUUGCAAGAGCAAUAGUUGGCGAGACAACCAUGUGAUGACACAUUGAUAAAUAUCAAGAUGAUGGAGAUCAUGGUGUCAUGCCGGUGACGAUGGAAAUUAUGAUGAUACUUUAGAGAUGGAGAUCAAAGGCGCAAUAUGAUCAUGGCCAUAUCAUGUCGCAUAUUUUGAUUGCAUGUGAUGUUUAUCUUUUAUACAUCUUAUUUUGCUUAGUUCGGCGGUAGCAUUAUAAGAUGGUCUCUCACUAAAUUUCAAGGUAAAAGUAUUCUCCCUGAGUAUGCACCGUUGUCAAAGUUCGCCGUGCCGAGACACCACGUGAUGAUCGGGUGUGAUAAGCUCUAUGUUCAUCUACAACGGGUGCAAGAAAGUUUUGCACACGCAGAAUACUCGAGUUAAACUUGACGAGCCUAGCAUAUGCAGAUAUGGCCUAGGAACACUGGAGACCGAAAGGUCGAGUGUGAAUCAUAUAGUAGAUAUGAUCAACAUAGUGAUGUUCACCAUUGAAAACUACUCCAUCUCACGUGAUGAUCGGACAUGGUUUAGUUGAUUUGGAUCACGUGGUCAUUUAGAUGACUAGAGGGAUGUCUAUCUAAGUGGGAGUUCUUAAGUAAUAUGAUUAAUUGAACUUUAAUUUAUCAUGAACUUAGUCUGAUAGUAUUUGUAUAACUAUGUUGUAGAUCAAUAGCUCGUGAUGUUGCUCCCCGUUUAUUUUUAAUAUGUUCCUAGAGAAAAAUUAUGUUGAAAGAUGUUAGUAGCAAUGAUGCGGAUUGGAUCCAUGAUCUAAGGAUUAUCCUCAUUGCUGCACAGAAGAAUUAUGUCCUUGAUGCACCGCUAGGUGACAGACCGAUUACAGGAGCAGAUACAGAUGUUAUGAACGUUUGGCAAGCUCGAUAUGAUGACUACUUGAUAGUUUAGUGCACCAUGCUUUACGGCUUAGAAUCGGGGCUUCAAAGACGUUUUGAACGCCACAGAACAUAUAAGAUGUUCUAAUAGUUGAAAUUGGUAUUUCAUACUCAUGCCCGUGUCAAGAGGUAUGAGACCUCUGACAGUACUUUGCCUACAAGAUGGAGGAGAAUAGAUCAACCAGUGAGCAUGUACUCAGAUUGUCUGGGUACUACAAUUGCUUGAAUCAAGUGGGAGUUAAUCUUCCAGAUAAGAUAGUAAUUAACAAAGUUCUCUAGUCACUAUCACCAAGUUACUAGAACUUCAUGAUGAACUAUAAUAUGCAAAGGAUGACGAAAGUAAUUCUCGAGCUCUUCGCGAUGCUGAAAUUGGCGAAGAUAGAAAUCAAGAAAAACAUCAAGUGUUGAUGGUUGACAAGACCACUAGUUUCAAGAAAAGGGGCAAAUGGAAGAAGGGGAACUUCAAGAAGAAUGGCAAGCAAGUUGUUGCUCAAGUGAAGAAGCCCAAGUUUGGACCUAAGCAUGAGACUAAGUGCUUCUUGUUCGCACACAAACACGUCACCGUGUACCUCCAAUGCCGAGGGUGAUGCACCGCAGCUCACGUCGAAGGAGACCCGGCCGGAAGCGUGGUAUGCAGGCAAUCCAGCAGGCGCUUUUGAAGACCCGAAACCCCACACGCCCGGGAGGGACCCCGUCUGAAUGUGUAGCAGCUAUGGGCUGCCAUAGGUCGACCUGAUCGCCCCUAGGGCCUCGAGGUUCGCCGCCCUGCAAAGAAGAAGAAUAGAUGAAGAACGAGGAAGAAGAAGAACUAGGGUUAAGGAGAAAAGAUAAAGGAUAAAAAGUGAUAGAUGAUUUGAUCAAUUGUAUGUUGUUCAAUCGGCCGUCACCCCUUAGAUGUAUAAGAGGUGGCUGGACUUCCCAUGCAAGGAAAAGGCUUGAAUUCACGUCGAAAACCCUAGUCAAAUUUGGAUUGGUUUUGUCCGAACUUUCCAAAACUGUUCGGUUUAAACUGGCUGCACCUUACGGGUCUUUUUUGUGGUGGUAAACGAUCUCGUAUGAAAACGAGCCCAAAAGCAAUCUUGACCGUUUCGACAAGACGAACAACUUUUGUGUUGAACGUUUUUUAAUCAGAGGUCAUCUUGAGGAUCAAAUCAGUCGCGCAAAACAGGCUAUUCCCUCGCGCUACCCAUCACACAUGUGUCUGGUGGGGCGCGCCACAUCUCGCCUCGUGACAGGGCUGCACUCCGAUUUGGACGAUUUUUAUAUCAAAAUCGACCGUUUCGACGAGAAGAAGACAAUUCGUGUAGACCAUUUUUCCAUAUGAGGCAGUCUUGAGGGCGUAAUCAGCUGAAUAGUGUUCUGAAUACAAAAUCUCAGAACUUCGAACAUAACUUCGGCCUUAGAGAUGAGACCGGAUGGCUAUGGCGCAAAUAUCAAAGUUUCUCCUUUUGACGAUACGGAACUUUCUCACAUUGAGCACUUUUCCAUUUGAGGUCUUCUUAAUUAUGCUUUUGACCAUGCCAAAAUCUGGUGUCAACACAUGCCCCCCUGUUUUUCGGCAAAGCAUGUGUGCCGAAAAAUAACUUGCGCAUAGCUUGUUCUAAGGACGAUGCCAACACUCCAUCGGCCAUUUUGCAUGUUCUUAGAACGAUAAGUAUAUAUCGGCCAUUGCUUGUUUGAACCUCUUGAUGCAAACUUCGGUGAAAACUUCUCAGCUUCUAUAACAAUCCAGUGAUAAGGUUCCAUAGAUCAAAACCAUCCCCCGAACCAUAUUAUUCCCCCUUUUGCUAGGAUUUUGCAGAUAAUCAAGAAUGGACUUCCUUCAAUCCUUACUUCAUCUCAUGAUAAACUAAAAGUGAUUCGUCAAAACAUUUAUAGCUUUUAUUGUUGUACUACUCAUAACAAAUCACCGAAAGCCUCAAUAUGUAUAGCACCUAUAGCAAGGAAAAGCUCCAAUCCGAAUAACAAUGCAUAUUUGGCGUUGAUCAUUUGUGCAUAAAUAUUUUAAGCGGCAUGAGGUUUCACAAAAUAGCACCAUAAGGAGAUAUAUAAACAACACCAACACCUUGGCCAUUGCUACAAAUUUGACCAUCAAUAUAUAACCGCCAUGGUACUAGAGAGAUCAAGCUAAAACCAAUAUUAUGUAUGACAUUAAUCCGAUGUUCAGUAAUAAAAUCAACUAUGAUUUGGCCUUUUAUAGAUAUCAAAGAUGCAUAAGCCAAAUCGUAUCCAAACAAAGUAUAAGCCCACUAACCAAUUCUACAGCUAUGAAUUGGUCUAUGCAGCAUAUAUUCAAUGAUAUCGGUCAAGAUGUCUCAACUCCAUUCAAUCAUAAUAUAGGCAUGCAUAUAAAUUUCCAUGAGCACGUACCUUGUCUCGCUCUCCAAUCGAACUAAGCACGAUGUUAGAGUACUACACCGGCCAUGCGUUGACAUAAUCUUAGGACGAUAGAUAAAUAUCGGCCAUUACCAUGUAAACUUCAUUCAAAGCACAUAUAGUUGAAAUAAAUAAAUGAAAUGACAAAUCAAGUAUUUCAUCCCUUUGGAUCAGCAACAAACUUGUAGCUAAUCAAAUGUAUAGUGACUUGGUAAUACCCUUUCAUGACGUAAGAAAUUAUAUUGCAUCCAUGGAUUAAAAUAAGCCCAUUGAGGGUUACCAAUCAUACCUAAUGACAAAUUCCAUGACAUAGGCGUUAAUGGCAUAGUUGAAGAAUAUGGAUAAUGUGUAGACCAAGAAUGUUGAAACCUUCGGCUUGGUCCUUCAUAGUUUUCACUCUUUUCCUUCUUCACCUUUGCCGCACUUAUUGUAAUGUAAGCUUGCACAUAAUUCUUAUUUUGAGCACUUCCUUUGGGAACCCGUGCCAUGUUCCUUUCUUCAAGUUCUUGUGCACUAAGUUUUUGUAAUUUCUUCUUUUGCCAAUACGAUGAGCCGAGUGGGUAUCUCGGCUGCGAUUCUGUUUUGACCAAUGACAACUCUUUUUCGGCCUUGUGCACUCUCAACUUCUUUUCUUCAGAUUUGGCACUUUGACUUUCAAUAAUUGGUUGCUUCAUCUCAUUGCCUUUAGUAGCCAAUGUCAACACUUUAAUUGGCUCUUUGUUAUUUGAGAUCAAAUCUGAAGUAGCACACUUACGACCAUCUCUUUUAACACGGUACACUUGUUUGACCACCUCUUUCUUCUUCUUUGAGCUCCGGACCAAUUCCUUAUGAUUGAAACGGUCUUUAACAUAUAAUUGUUCAAAUGUUGAUCUUCUCGGAGAUGCAUAAUAUGAGUGAGAUGGUCUAAAAUAAGAUGGAGAGUGUACCCUUGUAUCAUACCUGUCCCAUGAUGGAUAUGGAUCUACAUGAGCAUAGGGAUGCAUCCACGGCAUUGGCACUGGCAGCCCAAAAUAAGGAUAUGAAUAUGUUGCAUUAAAAUGCUUGGUUUGCCAAUACCAUCCUCAUAUUUGUGCCUUGGGGACGGUCUUGGUUUCUUUGCAUGAUCUGGUCGAUAAGCAUUCUUAUCUUCACUCUUCUUUUGAUAUUUAUCCAAUAGUUCAGUGAAGGUGAUUUUUGAUCUCUUACACUGGCGCUUAUUUCGGCCUUUGUUUUCUUUUGGUUCGCUUUCAUCGAUCACUGGAUUUGCUUGUUGCCCCCCAGUCCUUAGCAUCUUCAUUGUAGCUUCGAUUGAAUUCUCGCCCUCAAGAUUAUGUUCAUUAUGCUCUUCAAAAACUUCUUUACUUGAAAGCUUGAUCCCAUCAUCUGCAGCUUUUACCUUCUCUUAAAAUGGAUCGUCUUGAAGCAGCCGAUGCAAAAAAAUUCUGCCAUCGGGACCAAUCAGAAUAGACUGGUCAUCUCUUGGUGUCUCAACAAAUUUCAAUCGUCCUUUAUCAAUGGCUGAUUUAACUAUUUGACGAAACAUGUUACAAUCCUCAAAGUUAUGCUUGGAUGAAUCAUGCAACUUACAAUACAUUCGUCCCUGGACAAAUGGCUCAACAUGAUGAUCAAGAAUUCUAAUAUAAUUAUUUCUCAACAACAAAUCAAAUAUUUGAUCACACAUGCUUGAAUUGAAGGUAAACUUUUUAUUCUCUAGCCGAUCUUGUUGUGAGAACGGCUUUGGAGUUAAGCAGACGAAUGGUUCAGAUUUUGCAUCACCCCAUUCGGCUAUGCAUUGUCUUUCGAUAAGAAACUAUACUGGCAUCGGUUUGCUCCGAAGAUUUUAACGUUGGCUUUCAAUUUUUGAAACCAAAAUAGCUAGAACAUACAUGUCUCAAUUGAGACCAAGUGUAAGCCAAGUAAGAAAUAAGCAGAGCUACCCAAUUAGAUAUGAGCAUUAGAUAAAGCAAUGGGGAAAGCCUUGGCUGCAAUAAUUUUUCGCAAUCGGUCUUUUUGAAUGGUGCAAUAUGUUGACCGAUAUGCUUUGUGACAAUCUGAUUGCUAACAGAUAAAUUACCCUUCUUCAUUGGUCUCUCAAUAUUUGUUAUGAAGAUUUUUCUAAUAUAUGCAUCAACAACUAAGUCAUGACCAAAUCUAAAAACAGGUAAAUUAAUUGCUAGACAUACAUCUUCAAAUAUGUUGGGAGAGCAUGAUGGUGGUGUGACUUGAAGAAUAUCUUGCUCUGCCUUCGGAUAGCUCCCCAGUGCCUUGUCAUCAUCUUUCUCUUGAUUUAGUGCAUCAUUAGUUUGAAGAACUUCGUCCACCAAACUUUCUUCGGCCACUCGUUCUUGUUCUUGAAGCUCAUCAAUUUCUAUGGCACGAAACUCAUAGGGCAGGAAGUAGGUUCCAUUAACUUCAGAAAAAUCAAGUAUGGUUGUCUUGCUAUACUUUCCAUGCCCUUUCUCAACAAUGUUUGCCUCUUUGGAUUUGAUGGAUUCGGAAUAUAUACUACUUGAUUCGGCUUUUUCAACCGAAGCACUUUUAGUUUCCGAAUCAUCAUUCUUUUCACCAGGUUAUAUCAAUUGGCAAGGAUUCUUUUCUUUGAGCUAAUUCCCUAUCAAUUCUUUCUUGGCGAAGUACUUGCACCCUAUCACGCAAAGCUUUAACUCUCCUCUCAAUUUCAGUCCGUCCGCUCUAGAUUAGUUUGCCCCCCAAUGCUUUUAGGAUCUUUCGGCAAUGAAGUUUUAGUGUUGCUGAAAUUUUGCAAUUGUGUAGGGGGUAUAUAAUAUGUUGUGGUACUAGGUAGAGGUGUAUGCACUGUUGUAUAACCAUAUGCUCUCUCACCAAUGCUAUCAAUUGAUGAGGUUUCAUCUUCCUGCAAAACUCUAGCCUUUAUUGCAGUAUAAUCAGGAAACAACCCAUUUUCAUAUUGUUCAAGGUAAAGAGCACUAAUUCUCUUGUUUUGUGUCAAGCUCUUUUUUAAUGCAGCCAUAACCGUUUCUGGAAGGGAUUGCUCCGCAAUACUUUCAGAUUCUUUCGGCAAUGAUUUGUGAGUGUUGCCGAAAUUCUUGAAUUGCAUAGAGUAUGCAUUAUAUGCUACAGUAUUUGAUGACGACACAUGUGUUCCUGUAAAAGUUUCACUUAUUCGGCUAACCUCUGAGGUUUGUUAGACAUGUCAUCUCUGACCUCUGUGUGCAUUUGUUAUGACCGGCUUGGUCUAUUCUAGGAAGAGGCCCACCGGGCAUUAGUAUUAGGGGCUUGGCCCACAAGUUAUCUUAGGCAAAUUAUCUUAGGAAAGUGUCCACUCCCUCCUUGCCCCUACAACCUACGUAGUAGAGCCGGUAGGAACCCUAGUCCUACCAAUUUGGUAAUCAGAGACCACGUUGCGAUCAUGUCGCUGCCGCCAUCACCGCCGCCGCUGCCCGUCGGUACCACCGCGCCCAUGAUGAUGGCGCCAAUCAUCACCGUGCUGACCACAUCCGCCGGGACCUCGCUGGCGUGUCCCAUCUCCUCCUCGGCACCGCCAUCUCCGGGCGCAUCUGCACCAUCGCUGGUGGCCGCCUUGUCUCUGGAGCAACUCGCCGCCACGCUACAUCACCUCGUCACCGCCGUCCACGGUCUUCAGCUCCAACAGCAAUAUGGGGCCGGGGCCUACGCUCACCCGCUGUCGGCCCCGAUCGCCGCCCCUGGUCUUCUCCUAUAGCAGCAGCCGCAGUACAGGGGCGGGGCGGGCCCCUUCACGCCACCACCAGGACCGCACCAGGGCGCGCCCGCGUACGGCGGGUCCCCGUUCUGGCCGAUCCAGGCGGGCUUGGCAUCCGGGCCAGCGCCGGCUGCGGCGCCCCUCUGGCCUUUGCCGCCGGCAACCUCGGCCGCCUCCUGGCUGCAGCAGCCGCCGCCCACCGUCUGGCCGGUUCAGCAGACGCCGUCCCCCGCAUGGCCGGUCCAGCAGCCGUCGCCGCCGGCGUCCCAGGUCCUGCUUCCACCGCCGUUCUCCGCGCCCUCAUCAUCCGGGACCAGCUCGGGCGCGGCCUCGACUACCGGGUUACCGAUCCAUCAGGUCCGGUUUCCCCCGUCCCCGUCCCCCCUGCCACCAUGGGCGGCGGGGUCUUCGCCUUCGCCGGUCUACACCACGACCCCGGUUGAGCCGACUCCGUUCCCGCAGUUCGGCGGGCCAUCCGGCCCCGCCGGCCCGUACCCGGACUACUCCGAUCAGGCACCCCCUGCUUCACUGUUCUGAGCCCCCGAGCCUGCUCGGCACGGCGGGCCGCAGCAGACACCGCCGCGGUUCACCAAACUCGACUUCGCCACCAACGAGGGCACGGAGGACCCCCUCAACUGGCUCAACCAGUGCGAGCAGUUCUUUCGAGGGCAGCGGACGCUCGCUUCAGAUCGUACCUGGCUCGCAUCCUAUCAUCUUCGAGGCGCAGCGCAGACCUGGUACUACGCCCUUGAGCAGGACGAGGGCGGCAUGCCACCGUGGGAGCGCUUCCGGGAGCUCUGUCUCCUCCGUUUUGGGCCUCCUAUCCGCGGGAGCCGACUGGCGGCCCUCGGCCGUUUACCAUUCACAUCUACGGUGCAGGACUAUGCCGACCGCUUCUAGGCCCUGGCGUGCCACGCGCCGGGCGUCUCCGCGACCCAGCGCGCCGAGCUCUUUGUGGGCGGUCUGCCGGACCAUAUCCGCAUGGACGUCGAGCUCCGGGAUCCCCCCGACCUCUAGACGGCCAUGUACUAUGCCCGGGCCUUCGAGCGGCGGGCCCAGGCACUGCAGCAGCCACUCGGACGGAGCGGUCGCCAGCCCAGUUGGCCAGCACCGACUUCCUCAGCCCCGGGUCGGCCUCUCCCAGCCGUGACGGCCACACCCCCGGCCGCCACACGGCCCUUCCGUCGGCUGUCACCGGCCGAGCAGCAGGAGCGUCGCCGUCAGGGUCUCUGCUUCAACUGCGAUGAGCCCUAUACGCCGACCCAUGUCUGCCCCCGCCUCUUUUAUUUAGAGACGGUCGACUACACCGAGGAGGACGACUUGCCCGACCCGUUACAUCCGCCUGCGGCGCCCGAGGACACGGCCGCGGAUUCCGCAGCAACGGCGUGCAUCGUCUCCCUUCACGCCCUGGCCGGCAUCCGGGGUGAGCGGACCAUGCUGCUGCCCGUGACGAUCCAUGGCGAGCGACUGGUGGCCCUGCUGGAUACGGGCUCCACACACAACUUUCUGCCCGAGUCGACCAUGCGUCGGCUAGCCCUCCCAACGACGGGCGGGGAGCGCCUGCGGAUCACAGUGGCGAACGGCGAUCGCCUCCGGUGCCAUGGGCUAGCCCGCGACGUUCCCAUCUCCAUCGGCGGCGAACACUUUUCCAUCACCUGUGUAGGGAUCGAUCUGGGCUGCUUCGACUUCAUCCUCGGGGUGGACUUUCUCCGGACCCUCGGCCCCAUCCUGUGGGAUUUCGACGCGCUCACGAUGACAUUCUGGCGGCAGGGCCGCCGCAUCCGGUGGGAGGGCAUUGGGGGCGCCGCGCCUGCCGUGCCACACCUCCAGCUGGCUGCCGCGUCCUCGGAGGCCGAGCACCCCCUGCUGGAUUCUCUUCUGCAGCAGCACAGCGACCUCUUCGACGAUCCGCGGGGUCUUCCACCGGCCCGGGUGUACGACCAUCAUAUUCACCUCGUACCAGGCUCCACUCCGGUGGCGGUACGGCCCUACCGCUACCCCCAGCUGCAGAAGGAUGAGUUGGAGCGCCAAUGUGCCCUGAUGCUCGCCGCAGGCAUCAUCCGGAUCUCCACAUCGCCCUUCACGGCGCCGGUGCUUCUCGUCCGUAAGUCAGACGGCACAUGGCGCUUCUGCAUCGACUACCGCGCCCUCAACGCACUCACGCUCAAGGACAAGUUCCCUAUACCGGUGGUCGACGAGCUCUUGGAUGAGCUCCAUGGGGCACGCUUCUUCACCAAGCUCGAUCUCCGGUCGGGCUAUCAUCAGGUGCGCAUGCAUCCGGACGACAUCGCCAAGACGGCGUUUUGCACCCACCAUGGCGACUUCGAGUUCUUGGUGAUGCCUUUCGGCCUCGCCAACGCCCCGGCGACGUUCCAGGCCCUGAUGAACGACGUCCUUCGACCCUACUUACGGCGGUUUGUGCUUGUUUUCUUUGAUGACAUUCUUAUCUACAGCGCCACCUGGGCCGAACAUCUCCAGCACGUCGCCAUCGUCUUCAACGAGCUUCAGGCGCACCACCUCCACCUUAAGCGCUCGAAGUGCUCGUUCGGGACGCCUACCGUCGCCUACCUCGGCCAUGUCAUCUCGGCCGACGGGGUGGCUAUGGACGCCGAUAAGGUGGCGGCCGUCACCGCCGGGCCGACGCCUCACUCGCCGCGGGCUCUCCGCAGGUUCCUCGGACUCGCCGGCUACUACCGAAAAUUUAUCCGGGAGUUCGGACUCAUCGCGGCGCCCCUCACGCGGUUGCUUCGCCGCGACGCCUUCACCUGGGACGACGAGGCGACGACGGUGUUCGAGGCCCUCAAGGGGGCCCUCACGACGGGCCCCGUCCUCAAGAUGCCCGACUUUGACCGUCCGUUCGUGGUGGACUGUGACGCCUCGGGCGCCGGGUUCGGCGCCGUACUUCAUCAGGGCGAUGGGCCCCUCGCCUUCUUCAGCCGGCCUUUCGCUCCGCGCCAUCUUAAGUUGGCCGCUUACGAGCGGGAGCUCCUUGGCCUAGUCCAGGUCGUGCGUCAUUGGCGGCCAUACUUGUGGGGGCGGACCUUCCACAUUCGCACGGACCACUACAGCCUGAAGUUCAUCCUGGAUCAAUGGCUGCCGACCGUUCCGCAGCACCAGUGGAUCAGCAAGCUCUUCGGCUUUGACUUCUCCGUCGAGUAUCGGCCAGGCCGUCUUAACACCGUGGCCGACGCGCUGUCCCGUCGCGAUUCCGACCUCGCGCCACCCGCCGACGUGUCCGCCGGGACGGCCCUGUGCAUCCGCUCCGGGCCAUCGUCCGGUCUCUUCACCGACAUUCGACGCGCCACUGCGAUGGCCGAUGACGCCGCACUUCUUCAGCAGCAGCUCGCGGACGGCGACUUGGAGGAGCCCUGGCGCUUCUCUGACGGACUGCUCCUCCAUGAACGCCGGAUCUUUGUUCCGGCGCAUGACGAUCUCCGUCACCAGGUGUUGCAGCUCGCUCACUCGGCGGGCCAUGAGGGUGUGCAGAAAACCCUCCAUCGUCUUCGCGCCGAAUUCUACAUCCCUGGCGAUCGUGCCCUGGUCCGCGACUGGGUUCGGUCUUGUCAGACUUGCCAGCGCAACAAGACAGAGACCCUGAGGCCGGCGGGGCUCCUUCAGCCCUUGCAGGUGCCGUCUCAGGUUUGGGCAGAUAUCUCCUUGGACUUCAUCAAGGGCCUUCCCAAGGUGGGGGGCAAGUCAGUCAUCCUCACGGUGGUUGAUCGCUUCUCUAUGUACGCCCACUUCAUCGCGCUGGGCCAUCCGUACACGGCGGCGUCCGUAGCCCGGGCCUUCUUCGAUGGCAUAGUCCGUCUACACGGGUUUCCGACGUCGAUCGUCAGUGAUCGGGACCCUGUCUUCACGGGCCAUGUCUGGCGCGACCUCUUCAGGAUGGCGGGUGUCCAGCUCCGCCUGAGUACGGCGUUCCAUCCUCAGACGGACGGUCAGUCUGAGGUGGUUAACAAGGUCAUUGCCAUGUAUUUGCGUUGUGUGACAGGUGAUCGGCCUCGCGCUUGGGUGGACUGGCUCUUUUGGGCGGAGUACUGCUACAACACUUCUUAUCACUCCGCCCUGCACGCGGCGCCAUUUGAGGUGGUCUAUGGUCGACCACCCCCGCCUAUACUUCCGGUCGACCCGGAGAUGGCUCGGACGGCGGUUGCGGGUGACCUUAUCCGCACCCGUGAUGAGAUGCUGGCUGAGGUCCGUCAGCGUCUCCUUCAGGCCCAGCAGACGGCCAAGCACUACUACGACGAUCAUCAUCGCGAGGCGGAGUUCGCAGUGGGUGACUGGGUGGGGCUCCGUCUUCUCCACCGCUCUACGCAGUCACUGGACCCGCGCGCAAAGCGCAAGCUUGGCCCUCGCUACGCCGGGCCAUUCCCUGUCGUGGAGCACAUUGGGAAGGUGGCCUAUCGUCUACAGCUUCCAGCCCGCGCCCGCGUCCACGACGUGUUCCGGCUGCUCAAGCCUUUCUGUGGCGAGCCACCGGCGGCUCCUCCGGCGCUUCCUCCAACCGCCGAUGGUCGCAUUCUUCCAGAGCCAGCAAAGGUGUUGCAGGCUCAGCUCCGUCGUGGCGUCUGGUUCGUCCUAAUUCAGUGGGCGGGCCUUCCGGAGGAGGAGGCUACUUGGGAGCAGCGUGAGGAAUUCCGUCAACACUAUCCAGACUUUCAGCUCGAGGACGAGCUGUUUGCGCAGGCGGGGAGAGAUGUUAUGACCGGCUUGGUCUAUUCUAGGAAGAGGCCCACCGGGCAUUAGUAUUAGGGGCUUGGCCCACAAGUUAUCUUAGGCAAAUUAUCUUAGGAAAGUUAUCUUAGACUAAAGUUAUGAAUACUCAUGUAAGACAUCGUUUUGAGGCAAGCAAUAAAGACUAUUAUUAUCUUUUGUUGCCCGGCUCCUAGAGGAGCCGGGCACCCUAGCCGCCGCAGCCAAGCCGCCGCCGCCCUCAACCCUAGCCGCGACGGCGCCCUGCCGCCGGCGCGCCCGUUCCUCGCCGCGUCCACUCCCUCCUUGCCCCUACAACCUACGCAGUAGAGCCGGUAGGAACCCUAGUCCUACCAGCAUUAUCAUCUCUAACUGUUGCUCAGCUUCUAAUGUUAGCUGCUCUGCUUUGCAUAUGACAGGGUCUGACCGUUUUCCCACAAGGAUACAGAAACCCCAAUGUUCCAGGGUGUACGAAGCGAAAGCAACCUGACUGGGCGCCUUCAGAUUUUGUUGAACAAGGACUUUGUGAAGAUUUUCUGCCUGCUGCAUCGACUAUGGUACAACUUGAGAACCUAUACGCUCAGUUACAGGAGCAUGCGUUAAAUGUUGGGGCCACUUCUUUCAAGUGCAAGAGCGAUAAAAGGGAGCGCACCCAUGUGUCUUCCUUUGUGGACAAAGAAACUCAGGUUACUGCUUUAAUCUUAUCGUUUCUGAAAUUCUUUCUAGGGAAUCUUACUGCUAACCAUUACCUUCUCUUUGACAUCAUACUUACCAUAUUAUCCGAUUCUGGAACAAGAAGCUAGGAAAGUACGUUGAUUUUCUGCGAUAGAAUGCAACCGGGUACAUAGUUGCUUUUCGGGCCUUCGCUGAUAUUAACGCGAUAAAAUACGCUCACUGGUGUUGCUUCAAGGACGACAAGCAGGUCCAAAGUGACUUUCCUGACACCACAUUUGAGGUCACAAAUUAUCAGGCGGGCUACAUAGAUGUGUACGUCAUUUACAAGUCACCUUCUCCUGCUGUCUUGAGUAUCUAUUUUUUCUUUCUUUUUUCCUAUUUUAUCUCUGACAAAGAAAAGAUGUGCAUUUUUUACAGUGCUGCGGUUGUCUUUGGUGUGGACACGGUCCAAUGAUACUUGAUGAGAUUUGCGCAGUACAUGAGGAGUAUGAUCAAGAAACAGUACAUGAGCAUCAUCACAAAACAAAAAAGCUGGUUAAACGUCUUCUGCACUUCUGUUUGUGUUGUUAGGUGAAGGUCCAAGGUUUGAUCUUAUCAAAGCGACUAUAUACUCAAGCAUAGAGAAGUUCUCUCACAAGUAUUGCCUAAAACAUCUUAGAUUAGCCGCUAUUUUGGAAGAAGUAAUUCAAAACUGGUCCAGUCUCUCAAAAACAACAUAUUUCCUAUUGCUUGUGCAUUAUGAAAAGAAGAUAAAGGCGAAGUGCCUUAGGGAGAGACAUGAUCCUGCUGAUAGUUCACUGCCACACUUUAGUCAUCGUCGACUAUUUUUGCAAUUUGAGGCACAGGCUAGGAUAGCACGGUACCGCUGCUUACAGGUGGAAGUCGGUGAAAAAAAGAUUCAGCAUGUCCUUAAAUUGAGAAAAGAUUCUGUGGAUGGGAAAUGGAUGUAUUAUGGGGAUGUAGCAUGUAAUCAGCUUCUUGGUGAUCAUCUGUCGCUUCUGAAGUAUCUGGACCAGUAUACUACUUCUGUGAUUAUGAGAGCUACUGGUUACCAGAAAGAACUGCACCCUACACUCUCUUCGUCAUCAGAAUCUGAUGAAAAGAACGAGAAAGGGAAAGACAAAGAGAAAGAGAAAGAGAAAGAGAAAGAGAGAGAGAGAGAGAGAGAGAGAGAGAGAGAGAGAGAGACGAAGUGGAUUACAAAAGAUGCAGAAUUUUGGAAGAAGUUCGCCGACUUCAAAGAGCAUCAUCAAAACUCUACGCUGUCUGCUACUCUUCACUUUGUCAAUGAUGCCCUCCCAUUCCUGCAACGUUGGGUUUUUGAAGCGGUCAAAGCUGAUUUGUAUGAGGAAGUCAAGGUUAUUUGUAGCAAGUUUAAAACUGCAUUGCAGAGGUAUAUUCAUCUAUUGUUGCUAGUUCCUGAUGUUUUCAUUGCUCUUCUAUCAUAGUAUGUUGCUCUUUUUGUCUAACAUCUUUGUUUCGUCAGAAUGAACGAGAUUGAAGCUGCGGGGUACGCUUGUGAUUGAUGGCCUGCCAGAAGGGUUGACAAACUGACAAAGCUGAAGCCUAUCUUCAAAUUUCUUAAUGAAAAUUGUCCAGAUUGGAGUCCGCCACAGCAAGAUCCAGUUGGACAGGCUGACCAACAGCAUGAUGAGGAUGAGGAGGAUGAACUAAUCAUGGCCAAAGGAAAGGGCGGCAAGGGCAGGAUGCAGUAUGUGAACCGUGAGGUCAAGGUCAAGGUCAAGGUCAAGCGGAAGCGGAAGGGCAAGGACAAGGACAAAAGCUAGUGUGUUGGUUUUACUGGUGCUGCACAUAGUUCUUGGUUAUACUUCUUCUGCACAUUAUUCUGGGUGGUUUUGAGUUUCCCCCUUGGAAGAUGGCCCAGUCAAUUAAUUGGGGGUGCUCUAAAAUUGCUUUCCAUGUUCUCUACCAUUUUGAAUUCGUUGAACUGAAAAUUGCAUUGCUCCUUGUGUUGCAAGUCCUAGUCAAAAGUUCAUUAUUACAAUUACCUUCAAGUGGAUCUGCUCUUUGCUUAUGGAAAAAAUUUCAGAGUGUGGUAGUCAGCAACAGUGUGAAUGGAAGGAGAUGCCUAAUUGUACCACAGUAGCAGUUGAUCAAGAUAUAAGAUGUGGGCAUGCCACUAGCGAGUCAGCCAUACCACCUGACAGUAAUAGUGUGUAAAAAUAUGAAACCCUAGAAUUAUGUGUUGUUGUAUGUUGUUUGAUCUGACCCUUGUGCAGGGUACAUAUAGGAGUACAAGAGGGGUAGAGACUUGGAGUACAAGACAAGUCACAUGUGGUUUAAACUAAUUCUAUCUUUAUCUCCUUAUCUCUAACUUAAACCCAAUUAUAUUUCUAACAUUCCCCCUCAGUCGUAGCGGGAGCGAAGCGGACGAGUACGAAUGGAUUUGAAGUCUUGCGCUUUCGUCGUCUUCUCCGCUGCGCCAUCAUCAACUGCGUCUCUGAUGGGUUGGCACCUAGGGCGGUGACUGCGUCCCCUUCUGGUGGAGUUGUUGCCGAUAUGUUGCUGUAGACGUAGCCAUUAAUGUCAAUGUCGAGGUAGCCGAUCAUGGUGAUGUAGCCGUGGUCGAGGUAGUCGUGGUCGAUGGUGUGGCCGUCAUGGAUGAUGAAGCCGCACAAAGCCGAAGGCGCAAAAAAAUGCGCUAUGGCGGGGCUGCAGACGUGGACGAUACACCUUGCGGAUGUCAGAGGGUGUCGUCGGCGAUGAGUCCGCCGGUUUUGCCAAGACCGGAGGAAGCCCAUCGAGCACACAUCGGUUUUGCCAGAACCGUGUGGCCAUAUAGGGUCGUCACUAUAGUGACGCCGUGUCGAUGCAGUCGUAUUGUCGUGGAUGACGCGGUCGAUGCCGUCGUCGUGGUCGCGCCUUGCAGAAAAAAAUCUGUCAGAGGACGCUAGUUGUCCAUCCUGUGGACGAGGCGGUGGCGGUGUGUCGACGAUGAUGUUGGUGAAGACCAUGUUGAUGAAGACCUUGGCGAUGAAGUGUCGGUGGUGCAGCGCCACCGACAUGUCGACAAUGAUGCGUCGCUUGGAGGCGUCCCUCGUGGCGACGGGGUGUCGAUGUCGUGUCGUGCUGAAGAAGUCGAUGAAGAAUUGCAUCUCGUUCCACACCGGCCUGGCGUGUGAACAGUGCAUAUUGAGGUCGCUUCUAGUAGGUGUGGUCGAUGAAGUAUGUUGGCUCGCGGACGGGCUAGUCGUACAGGUCGAUGAAGUGGCACAGGGUUGAUGCAGAGGCGUCGAUCGGUGGUGUAGAUGUCGAUGCAAUUGCAGCAGGCCGGCUCGGUGUAGAUGUGUUCGGCUUGGUGUAGUUCGGCUUGUUGGCGCGCAGGAGAUCGAUCGAGUCGGCCUGAUAGAGAUCGCGUCCGUGCGCGUGCAGUGUAGUCGAUGCAGAUCGUAAUUUGUGGGCUUGAUGCAGAUGGUUCAAUCGCUCGAUGCAGUUUGCCGUCGCGGUGCAGAUCGUUGUUGGUGUAGUCCCGAAACAGAAGUCGAUGUAGAGACAAUCCGUGUACGACCGGAGGCAUGGCCGACUAUCGGAGAUCCGAUCGAUCGAAGGCACCAGUAGUCGUCUGUAGACGCGUACGUGUAGACGAGACUGAAGCUUCAUCUGAGUGCAUGCACGUACCUCGGGCUACUGGUUGCUUCGUGUCCCACGUCCUGGGAGGCUGCGCAUGCACAUGGCCAAGUGCAUGAAUCAUAUGUGUGCGCAUCUGUUGAUGGAGCACUGCGCGUGUGUGCAUCCACCUCCACGACAAGCUCGCCAUACCUGUCUCUAUAGGUGCCGAGACAGCGCCGCCUUGGGUCGCGGCCGUAUAAGCCGCAUGCGGCCUGAAGUGAUCUGGACGAGGAUUUCUACACAACUUUCUCACCGAAUUUGAGGGUUGAGGGAUUUAUUGGUCGUGGCUACAGGAAACCAAUCUACUGGAAAUUCAAAAUUUGUGUAAUCUAACCUAUGAAUCGAUCUAAUCUAUAGAACCGAUCUCAUCUUUGACGAUCGGGUGCCCCGCCCCCAAGGAGAGGAGAUUAAUCUCCCCGGGAGCGGCGAGCUGCGGAAGCGGUGGAAGGUCCUAGGAUCGGCGUCGUUGGACAAACCGCUCUAAUACCAUGUAACAAUAUGAAACCCUAGAAUUAUGUGUUGUUGUAUGUUGUUUGAUCUGACCCUUAUGUAGGGUAUAUAUAGGAGUACAAGAGGGGUAGAGACUUGGAGUACAAGACAAGUCACAUGUGGUUUAAACUAAUUCUAUCUCUAUCUCCUUAUCUCUAACUUAAACCCAAUUAUAUUUCUAACAUAGUGCUUGGAAUCAGGUGGUCCGUUGGGAGGUACUACUCUUCAUGCUAUGGAAUCACAUAUGCUGCGAUUAUUUGUUCCUGUCUCAACCUCUCCUGGUUACACCAUUGUCAAUUAUCUGUGCAAUGUGAGCUUGAAUUGGUACUUGGGUGAGGUGCUCUGGGAUGUUAAGCAAUGGUGGUUGUAUGCAGUCAGCCCAAGCUUUCUUGAGACUUUAGGCAUGAGUGUUCUGAUAUGGGAAUUUCCUUGCAAGUGAGUGUUCAGAUCACCAGUACAGAUGGCAUGAGUGUUCUGAUCUGGGAAUUUUUAUCUCCUUGGAGUAACCUACAGGAAGGUGACACUAGUGGGACUGAAGCCAUGGAUUUCUUGGGAAUGUUUCUCUCUGGAAGAAUUUUCCAGCUUGCCAUAUUCUCUGUACUGGUGAUGUACGGAAGUGGUAGACGCACUUCAUUAUCUGCAGCUAUUUGAGGACAAAGUUGAAGCUUGGGUUUAGGAUGUUGUGCAACCUCCAUAGGAUUCCGGUGGCGCCAUACAACAUCGACUUGUGGGCAAGUCGAAUCUUAUGUGGGAGGGAUUGUUAGUGACCCUUCCUCUGACAUGGUGGGCCAUCGUCAUCAGGUGGGACCCAACACAGUUGGUACAAGGAGGUAACUAUAAGCUGGCGAGGAAGGACAUCAGGAAGCUAGGCUUGGAACAGAAUGACGGCUUUGGACGAGGCUUGUGUUGGCUAGGAUAGUUCCUGUUCAUCUUCUUCCUCAUGGUGAUUGAGUGGAAUAGAUAGGGAUCCUCAAAACUCCACUGGAAAUUUCCAGGUCUGAUAAGAGAUGGGGCAAUGAGUAGUGCACUCGUGAUGCUACAUGAUCAGAGAUCAGUGAUGGAAAUGGUCAAGCAUAUCACUAAUGCAGGUGUGAUGGACAUAUACAGCAAGAUACCUGAAGAUUUUUCAGAGGAAAUGCAUAGUGACUGCGAGUAUGCACAAGAGCAGCAACAACAUUCAGCUGGAGAAGGGCAGCAAGAACAUUCAGUUGGAGAAGAGCAGCAGCAACAUUCAGUGGAGCAGCAGCAACAUUCAGUGGAGCAGCAGGAAAGUGUAGGUGCAACUGAGCAGCAGUAUACUGCAAAUGCAGAGGAACAGCAGCAAGAGGCAGGUGCAGAGGAUCAUAUGGAAGAACCUUGGCAAUUUUCUGACAUGUAUUAUCAUCCUGGUAGGAUUUCUAACUUACCAGUGAGAAGAGGAAAAUCCGUUGUAGCUGAGGAGGAAGUAAACAUUGGUAAUCAUGAAUCUGAUAGUGACUAUGCUAUCCCCCUGCAGAGAGCAACAUCUCAGCAUCUGAUGAUGAAGUCUUGGAGCAUCUGAUGCAAGAAGAAGAGAAGAAGGUGAGAAACCACAGGGGAACAGGUUUUCAAAGAAAGGCAUUAAAAUUGGGGCGUGGAGUAUGUGAUCGUGAGCUCACAAGAGCUCGUUAUCUGUCCCGUCCAGUAUAACUUUGCGAUUCGUUGUAUUGAAUGCCUCUGACGGGUUGUGAGUCCAUCUAGAACAGAUAAAUUGAUAUAUGCAUGUGUACAGACCUGACUGGUGGGUCCUGUUCUACGCAGAUGUUGGGACGCCGCGGAUGGAGUGAGGCAGGGCCGUGGCUUGAGAUGCCACCGGUGUCCUGGUCCAUGGAUCAGAUCCUGUGCUCUCUGGUAACGACGGCAAUAGAUGGAGUAAAUGCAGGAGUGGGUUGCUGAGAGCAGCUGUCUCCUACCUCCCGAGAUUGGAUGCUCCAUUGGUGAAAGCGGCGAACCGGUGGAGGAGCCUCCUCCGACAAGGCGACUGGGCGCACCGGCGAGCAUGGAGUUCUUGAUGCAUCCAAUAAAUAGGUACUGAUCUGUUCGCUAUUGCUGCUGAUUCGCUACCGUUUUGAUUUAGGAUUUCCAGAAGAUUUGAUUUGUUUGCCGACUCUCUGUGCAAGCAGCAGAACUCUGCUAGAGGAGGUGAACGAGAACAACAUUGCCAUGGAGCCUCUUCACUACCCUGUGAGCACGCCGCCGGUGGUUGAGCUGCCGGCCAUGACGGCAUCAAAUGCAGACGGCUAGAUCUGUGCUGAGGACGCUGCUCCAGACGGGUGCAGUGCAGAUAAGGCUCAAGCUUCAGAGCACUUCAUAGAUCAGGUUGACCCGAAAACUCCUGGCAGGACGCAAUGGUAUGCAGAAUAAGAUUGAAAAAUAACUUCAUUUGGGUUCGAACAUUGAGAUGGCCCUAUGUUGUAAAGCUAUAGUGUACACAUAUAUAUUCCAGUAGUGAUUAGAAUCACUUAUUGAAUGUCCAAAACUGAGCUUGCGUAAAAAGAAUUAAGUCUGUACAAACAUGAUGUGUGAAGGAUGAUAAAUUUAGUCGCUUUCACUCUAAAAGGGAACCGAUUCUCUGAACAUAUUUUCAUGCUAGCAGGUUUAUUUCCUCCAGCUAAACACAAGGAAAAUGGGAGGCCUAACACAAGUAGGGAGAAGGCACUGUAUGAAGGGUUAAGUAAAUGGACCAGAUUCUGCAGCAUAUGUCGGCAGCAAGGUCACAAGCAAACGGCCUGUCCAGAUCGACGUACUGAAGCAGCCUCGCAAGCCAUCAAGGUAAGACUGAAGUAAUUGAUCAAUUUGGGGUACUUUAAUGAUCAGGUCCUUAGUUGUGUUCUAUCUGUAUAAUUAAGAUUUGUUGAGACUGUAUGAUUAUAACUUGUGUGUUACUCCUCUGCCUAGAAAAUAAAAUGCUUUUUAUUCGGCUUGCCUGGAUAGUUUCAGACUUAUAAGAGUGUUUGCCAAUGCUGAUGUUGUACUUUUUAUUACUGAAUUAAAUGUGUUGACUAUUAAUGAAUUGAUUCGAUGACUAGCUGUAGAUUGUGUUGUUCAGGUGAACUUGAUCCGCAGAUUUGAGGUGGUGUGUGAUACCAGUUAUUUCAAAAUCCAGCUGAUACAUGCUUUGAGUAACCAAAGACAGACAUAUGGCAUGUUUUGGGUCAAACAAGUUAAUUAAUGCAUUUAGUAGUGUUCCGUCAGGUGGAGCUAUCCUCGUGAGCGAGCUUGCAUUCGAAAUUCAAACAUCGUGGGCGGUAGAAGUGCAAAUGGUAAGAAACCUAUCUAUUAACUACAACAUCUUGAAGCUUUGGUUGCAUAGUGAUAACGUUAUGAAUUGAUGCAGAAAUGGAGGUGCCCUUCAUCGACUUGGUAACGAGUGUCCCGAUAACACAAACUGAGGAUCUUGGACCGGCGGCAAGUAUUCUCUACUCCCUCCGUCCCAUAAUGUAAGAUGUUUUUUGACACUGGGACGGAGUAGUAAAAAACAAUAGAAUAAGCUCGUGUAGAGGAUGGUAGACUAAGCUAUGCUGAUUGCAGAGGUGGAGGUGCCUUUCAUUGACUUGACCACAAGCAGUCUAGAUACAGAUGUGGACACAGGGGCUCCGCCUGGUAUGUCUGAUGCUCAUGUUGCAUAUGUUUGUUGAGCAAGAUCAAUCUUUGGAAACUGAUAAAAAAUGUCUUCUUGGUUAAACAAAUGACGCAGCGAGAUUGGCGCCUGUAAAGACAGAGGAUACAUCGGAUUGCCUAAAGUUUCAGACUGUCAUUGGUGGUAAGCAAGUUUGCAUAUGAACAUGUUCCAUGUAUGCGUUUUGCAAGGCUAUGUACAUUUGAAUAUGAGAAAACAACAUCUUGCAGGAGAACAAGUUAUUGGCUCUACCCCUGGCAAUUGAUGUACCUAUAGCAGCUCCUCACAGACGAGUAGAAGCAAUGCCAACAAUUCCGGCACAAGGUGGGUACACUGGAGGUAUAUUUCAAAACUGAUGUUCAUAAAUCACGUAGAUUCUGCUUGUAUGAAAACAAACUUUGCAAAUUAUGACAUGAACUGAGUGCUGAAAAUUAUGUUGGCGUAGGCAUGGAAGAGCAUGUCGUUCUAAUGUCACAGACAAGGAAUAAUGCAGAUGUUAUAGAGAUUGUGGUCAGACCGUCCGGCGAUAAAAUUGAACAGAGCACUCAGUGCUUGAAGUUUGAGACAAUAAUAGACGGUAAGUUCUGUAUCUGAAUGUGUGUAUAUCAUUUUGUGAAGUAGUUCAUGGUGGCUGAUUGCAUGCCAAAUCCAAUUUGUAUUUAGUAGGGCUGGCAUGUGUGGGGUCAUCACCACCACAAGGUUUUAGAAGCACUUCGCAAGCGCGAGGGAGUCAUUGCGUCUGAUCAAGUUAGGUCUGGUGAACCCAGAUGUGCUUCUAUUACCUAAUUCUGUACGGUCAUUCUAUACAAUGUAAAUGAUGCCAUGCUAACUCAAAUUGAUGGGUGGCCUGCAAUGCAGCCAGGUCAGAUGGCAAGCUGCCAUUGAACAUGUCGGCAGCAGCAGGCAUUAGGAGGCGGCAGAAGAGGUGUGCAAACAGGGGCAGCAGGCAGUAUCGUCAGAGGAGAUGCCUAACGCGAUCAAGCAGGCAUUUGUCACCUCGAAAAGCUCUGAUGAAUAUGAAGAUCCGGCUGCAAUCAAGCUACAGGUAUUGGCAGAGCUGAACUUUAGCAGUGAUAUUUGUUCACUUUGGAAAAUAGUAGUACUAAUCAUUAUGUUUGUCAGGUGCCACACCCAGGAAAGAGGACAAAGAAGCAAGCAGGGCCUACUCCAGCAAGGCCAACAUCAGUGCCCAGAACUGCUUCUCAACCAGUUGGAAGGGGAAGCCGGAGGAGUCACAACAGGGCAGGUUGAAGCUCCAGAUAGCCUGCUCCAGGAGUUCAAGCUCACAGCAAGUCCGAAGGCAUAACAGCACUGGGGAACAUUGAAUGCCUAGCUUUGCUUCUCAAUCUGUGUGCAUUUUGUUCAUGUGAAAAUUAAGUCUCCAGCCCUUUGUGGAUGCACCUAGGAGCCAUUCCCAAUUUCCGCCUUUUAUGGAUGUUUAGUAUUGUCAAAGACCUUAAGCAUUUGUAUGGUUACUUAUGAGUAAGGAUUAUUAUGUUACCUGAAGCUUAUCUGAAAGUGUGAUAUGCCUGUCAAUUUCUUAAAGUGCCAUUGCUGUAAAUUUAUUCUGAAUUCGAUGUCAAUAAUUUGUACAGUUCCGGUUAACUUGUGAAUUUGCUGAGUGAAAGUCAUCGAAAACAUGAGCGAACAGAGACGGUCAUCGCAUAUGCGUGGGCGUGGCAUACAUGAUGACUUAUUUGACCGCAUGUCGGGUGACAGCAUGGCAACUGAAGGGGUUUUCUGUGAAGUCCCAGCCCAGUUCUUUUAGUCAGCUUCUAGUGCUGCUCGCCGGCGCCUGGCCAGCUUCUAGUCAGCUUCUAGUGCUGCUACUGGCCGGUUCCAUCUCCGUACUGCAUGCUGCUUGUUGCUUGAGCUCGCCGCACUGCUGCUUCUGCUGCUCGUCGCCACAAGCAGACUAGGCUUCCCCAGAUCGCUGGCGCAAGCAUUGCGGCUGCUCGACGCCCGGCCGGUGCAUACUGCCGCAUGCCGAUCGCCGCAUACUAGAUUCUGCUGGACAUAGACCGAUAGACGACGAACGACCUGGGAGGCUCGAUCGGUUACAGCCGGCGAUCGAGGAAGAUAUGUAUCAGUCCAGGCCUCCAGGGCCUCCGUAGGUCGUCGCCGCCACUGCCCAGGUUUUUUUAGAAAAGGAGUAAUCACCCCCGGCCUCUGCAUCUGAGUGAUGCAUGCGGUCAUAUUAUUUAUUAUUCACAAAGACCUUACAAAGUAAUACAAUAGUAAGCCCGAGGCCACCAUCUAGACGACACCUGUCGUUACUCCUAUCCCCUUGAUGAAGGUGUGCUGAAUGUCCGAGCCAAAUACGAAACAGACAUCGCACGAAAGUCUAACAUCUAACGCUGGAUGCCCCAUCCAAGCCACAUAGGCGAGACUGGGUAACACUCCGGUCCGGGCACUCUCAGUGAGUACCACAUGCACACGCUGCAAAGGGCCGUCACCUCCGUCUUUCCUCGAUCCAUCCUCAAAGCAUGUACUGACGCAUCUACCUUGUCAGGCCACUCUGCCAUCGACGCUACCACGACGUCAGACAACGUCGACCUCCUGCGCGUGUCCCUCGCCACACAUCUGACGCCAAGCCUCCACUGCUCCAUGCCGUCGAGAUCCGUCGUCAUGAAUAUGUACAAAGAAACACCGCUCCACCGCAGAUGCCAUCCACUGGUCCCUCGAGCCAGUGCAUCUCCAAGAAUGCCGCCCCCAAGGGGGUAACGACACAUGAAUGCCGCCGUCAUCUGAUCAACUGAUCUAGGGUUUUCCCAGGAGGUAUUGGGUGGGGUUGGGAGCUUCACCUCGAUGAUGCCUUCAUGAAGGAAAUGAUGAUAAGACCAUCGUCGUCACCGGCUCCAGCCAAUGACCGAAGGCCAAGUUUUCACCCGGAUCCAUUCCAAGAAAUCCACCCGACAACUUGUGCACUAUCUCGACCGCCUUCAAAGCCCCAGAUCUAGCCGCCUAGAUCCGGCGACCAACCGCAACAGCAGUGCCACCGUAGGAGCCCUGGCACACCAGCCACUGCCUGAAUGCGCCACCACUGGAGCCUGGGAGGAGGGCUCCCACCCCACCUCGCCAACCCGCGAGAGCCACCGGGAUGGAUCCCCCACGCUCAUCACCGUCUCUGAUCUGAACCAAUCUGUGGCCAAACCACGAGAUCGUCGAUGCGGAUCCGCCUUGGAUAGGGACUGCACCACGCCAUGCCAUCGCGGGAAGCCUGAGCUUCACUCGCCGCCACCUUCCAGCGCUGCCGCCCCGGGAUCCAGCCGCCACCGACAGGACGCGCCGCCCACGUGCAGCAGGCCGGAGGAGCCCCCCGAUCCAGAUCUGGAGGCGGCGACGCGUGGGUCCCCCCCCCCCCCCCCGCUCGCGGGAGCGGGCUGGGCGUCCAGCUCUUGGACCUCACCGCGGAGGACAACCACGUGCGUCACGGAGGCUAGCUCUCGCGUGUGUUGCUUGUGUUGCAUAUCUGAGUUAUUUAUCCAAAACCACCACACUUAAAGCUAGGAUAACAACUUAGUAUCACAUUUAAGCCAGGGCACAAAAAACCAUCAGAAAUACGCCUAAGAGCAAGCACAAUAGGAUGAUGUAUGCAGGAUGUAAGACUUUAAAUAUUAGAGUUGGCAGAGAGAGAAGACAAGCGGGCUUCUAACUAACAGCCGGCUGUAGCACAUGCUCCUAGACAUUUUGUGAGAGAGAAAGGUGGGCCAUGUAUCAACUAGUACAAACUUAUAUGCAUCUAUUACACUUGCCGACUAUAACGUUGGCUAUAUUAUUAACCAUGCUCUAGUGCGUAACGCAGAGCACAAAGACUAGCCACAAUGGGUAGUAAUAUAGAGUAGUAACAUGGGUCUCUAUAGUGGGGAGUAACAUAUGUGUGGUAACAUGCAACACUUCAUUUAUUAGGCUAUAGACUCAUCUUGCCUUGAUAUGUGUGAUGUUACUCAUACUAGUAGUAACUAGCUAUGUUACCACAUGCCUCUCUUUUUUCAUUUAUUGCUUGCCAUAUUAUCUAUUUUAUCUAGAUAUGUGUGAUGUUACUACCUAUGUUACUCCUAUUGUGGGUAGUCUAAUAGUUUGAUUUGCCCAUGAAAAUAGCGAAACCGACAGGUUGGCCCCAUUUGUCGGGCUGACGUGGCCUGCCAAUGUGGAUUAUUCGCUGAGGUGGCCCAAGGCCCCACCUGUUAGAUGCAUCUCUUCUUCCCCUCUCUUCCCUAAAAAUACUCCACCACAGCCAUAUCCUGCACCGCUGCCGGAGCUCAACCCCGGCGAGCCACCCCACCACCGGCGAGCCGCCCCACCACCACAUACCAUCCGUGUCGAACCGCCCUGCUGGAGCUCGAUCUACCUCCAUGGAAGGCGGAUGCAACAUCAGGCACCAGCGGCCGCUCGGAUCCGUCUCGCAUCCACCCCGCCACCCAAACUGCUGCCUGGCGCCGGCGCCGAGUCGAAGAGGAGGACGACUACAUGAGAACUCUCCUUGUGUGUUCUUGCUUCCACCGCCACUUGCUGCUAGCUUGAGUAGGCGCACGGCCUAGGACUCUUGGUGGGCGCGGCGAGCACGGGCAUGGCCAUGGUGCUCCAUGACGGCGCGCGCGGCCAAGGUUUCCCGGUGGACGCCGCGAGUACGGCCAUGUCCAUCGCGCUCCACGACGGCGCACGCGGGCAUGGCCUCCCGACGAGUGCCGCAAGCACGUGCGUGGCCAUGGCGCUCCACAACGGCGGGCGCGGCCACGGCGCGCGCAAGUUCCCUAGGAAAGCUCGACGGAUCCAAGCACGUUGAGGGCUGGGGCAGCGCGGCGACGACGGGGCAGCGCAGCGAUGACGGGGUAGUGCAGCGAGGUCGAGUUCAUCCAUGGCAGCUCGCAUGGCAGCAGGUUCUUGUUUGAGAGAGAGAGACAUGAGGAAUGAAGGAAAAGAAAGGGGCGGCGAGAGGAGCUCUAGCGGCUUGACAGUGGCAGCCAUGUCUGGGAUUACCGCCGACCAGCGGCUUGAUAAGCGCACAUUAGCUGUUUGAUGAAAUGCCCAGGAAGAAAAUGCCUAGGAGAAAAAGAAAAAAAGGAAAAAGAGAUAAACACUCGAGUCAUUGACAGGUGUGACCCUCGUCCAACUCAGCAAAUUGUCCACAUAAGCACGCCAUGUCAGCCCGACAGGUGGGCCCCACCUGUCGGUUUUGCUGUUUUCACGACUAAAUUCCAGCAUCAGUGCUCCGUGUUACGCAUUAGACGCAUUUUUUGUGGUUUUUUGUGCCCUGGCUUGAAUGUGGUAUCAAGUUGUUACCCUAACUCCAACUGUGAUGGUCCGCCUGAGCAAAUCGAUCUGUCGGCUGUCUGCGAAUAUGUGCAGCUACCUCACCUACUCCCUCCAUCCAUGAAUAAGACCUCCUCCAAUGCACUAGUGCUAAGAUAAGGUGCUAAGCACAUUAAAAAUCUAAGCAACUAAAGUCCCCAAUGCAAAGGUGCUUGGCUUGUUGUUGCUAAGCAUCCUUUAUUUAAUGAUUUAGCAACUAAAGCUGUCCAUGCAUUGGUGGGAUUCUUUCAUUUAAGUGUUUUCCCUAGGUUCCCGCGCUUGGCAUUGUGUUAACACCAGAUUUUGGCAUGGUCACGAAUCAGGGUUCGUAUGCAAAAGUUAGAGGCAACACUUCGCGGGCCGGCCCUGAGUGAGAAAGUAUUCGGCCUUUGCGGGCUGAAUGAAACCUUGCCGGGGUAAAACCUUGCCGAUGUGAGGGCUUACCGAUGUGGAAAGCUUGCCGGCGGAGAAGCCUGCCGGCGUGGAAAGCUUGCCGGCGAAGAAGCUUGCCGGUGUGAAAUCUUGUCGAGGGAGAAACCUUGCCGAAGAGGAACUCUUGCUGGGGUAGAAUCCUUGCUGAGGAGGAACUCUUGCUGGGGUAGAAACCUUGCCGAGCUAGGGAGAACCCUUGCCGGUGUAAAAACCUUGCCGGGGUGAAACCUUGUCGGUGCGGAAAGCUUACCCGGGUGGAAGGCCUGCCGGGGUGGAGGUUGUGAUAGUCAAUCCGACCAGAAGCUGAAGAUGGGCUCAAAUGAUUAUCUAGAUGGACUCAAAUGGAGAAGUGAUCUACAUGAAAGAGUUCCGUAUUAUUGAUAUGAACAUCUUUGAAAUUUGGGUUAUUGCCGUCGGAUUUCAUCUCGAAGGCCGAAACUAUGCUCGAAGUACCAAGAUCUUAUAUUCAAAGUACAGUUUAGCUGAUUAAGCCCCCAAGACGACCUCAAAUGAAAAAAAGAUCUACAAGGGUUGUCUUCGUCUCGUCGAAACGAUCGAUUUUGAUAUAAAAAUUGUUCAAAUCCGAGUUCGUAUGCAAAAGUUAGAGUAAUCGAAGUGCAGCCCUGUCACGAGGCGAGACGUGGCGCGCCCCAUCAGACACAUGUCUGACGGGUAGCGCGAGGAGAUAGCCUGUGUUGCGAGACCGAUCUGACCCUCAAGAUGAUAUCUUAUCAAAAAACCUUCAACAUGAAAGUUGUUCGUCUCAUCGAAACGGUUAAGAUUGCUUUUGGGCUUGUUUUCAUCCGAGAUCGUUUACCACCGCAAAAAGGACCCGCAAGGUGCAGCCAGUUUAAACCGAACAGUUUUGGAAAGUUUGGAUAAAACCAGUCCGAAUUUGACUAGGGUUUUGGACGUGAAUUGAUAUAAUUUUCUUGUAAGGAAAGCCUAGAUAAAUUCUUUGCUUGUACAGGAAGUCCAGCCGCCUCUUAUAUAUGUUGGGGGUGACGGCCGAUUGAAACAACACCAAUCGAAUCAAUCUAUCAAUUACACUUUUGUGUUCAUCUACUUUUACUCCUUACCCUUGUAUCUUUCUUUCUCGUUCUUCCUUCGUUCUUCGCGUUGGAGGGCAGCGAUCCACGAGGCUCUAGGGGCGAGCGAAUCGACCUAGGGCAGCCCAUAGCCGCCGCAAUCCCUGACGGGGUCCCUCCCGGGUGCGCGGGGUUUCGGGUCUGCAAAAGCGCCCGCCGGCUGUCCUGCGUAUCGCGCUGUUGGUCGGGUCUCCUUCGACGUGAGCUGCGGUGCAUCACCCCCGGCGUCGAGGGUACACAGGACGUGUUCGUGUGUCAACACACUUUUUGGCGACUCCGCUGGGGACGAAGCUUUGAACAGCCUCCAGCCUGUUCUUGCUACGAGGGGAGCGUCAUCAAGUGGCUGCAAUCUACAACGGUAACAUGUAUCAUCAAUCUCCUUGCAUAGAUGCAAGUAGCCAUUAUGUUGAUGUUGCUAGAUCUUUCAACGGACAUGUGAUGUCGGCCAGCCCUAAUGAGCAAAGGCCGACUAGUUAUUCCAUUGGAGAAACUUGGAAUUUACAGAAUCGUAACAUGCAACUUAUGAAUCUGAACUUUCGUGCAUCGGCAACAUCUUUCAAUAUGCCGGUGAACAACACGAUUUGUUCGAGUGAUCAAUAUAGAACACCUCAUGUACAGGAGGGCAUCUCAAAGUUUUAUCCAUCGGCAACCGACUCGCAAUAUGCGGGUUCAUCCCCAAACAUGCCGAUGAAUGGGGGAAUCGGCCAUGCUUAUGUUAGCUAUUUGGCCAGUUAUCCUCAAACAUCAUAUACUACACCUCAUCAGAUUAAUUGUUCAGUGGCGUAUAAAACUAAAAAUAUUCAUGACUCAGCUCACCUUCACGGUCAUGGUCGAGUGAAUGGAGAUUCUAUAAGAGCAUAUGUGCCUAAUAUUGCAGGAGAUGAGGUGGCUCUGGCUGCAUUAAAAAUUUUAGCCCAAAAUAAGAAGAUUAGUGCUAUUUGCCUUGAGCAACAUGACAAGGGAUUGGUUCCUGAUUAUGAGGCAAUAAGAGCUAGGGUUUUGAAAGAAGACCAAGUGUUGCCGAUUGAUCAAAUUGUCGAGAGAAAAUAUUCAACAACGAUGCACAUGCCUUCACCUAUCAUUGCAGCAUGUUAUACACCCCCUAUACAAGCGCAAAAUUUCGGCAACAUCAAUUCAUUGCUGAAAAAUCCUAAAAGUAUUGGGGGGGCAAGCCGAUCCAAGCAGGGUUGAGUUUAAAGAAAAAUAUCUGGCCCAAGUGGACAAGAUCAAGCCAAAGCUCACAGGGAAUAGAGUCAACGAAUUUACUACACCUACCCUUGAGGAAUUACUAGCAGAAUAUCGACAGGCCUACGAAGCACUUAAGAAGAAGCAUGGAGAGGGAUAUUUGCAAGAAUACGUCAAGUGCCUUCCUCCAUGUAGCAACCAUGUUGGCCCUUCUACACUGUUGAGGCAAGAUAAAAAAGAAGCUUUACAAGCAAACUAGCAAAAAAGGAUUCACUCGGCUAAUAUGGUGGAUUUGGUUGAAACCGGAUUGAGCAACGGGAUGUUUAAGGCCAAGUGCGUUGCAUCAUGCCGACCGAGUGCAUCGUUCCAGACGAGUGCAUCACCAGCUAAAGCCGAGUGCAUCAAGCCAACUAUUGCCUCGUGUACCAAAAUAGAAGAUGCAAGCUUGGCUGAGCAAAGGAACGACAAACGCAACAAAUUGGUUGUGCUCAAUUUUUCUGGAUGUAAGGAAGCUUACAUGCUACCUUAUGAGUUUCGUGCUAAAGAUAUUGAUGAGCAUCAAGAACACAGUAAUAUGGCUGAACACAGUUCAGUUAACGAUGAACAUCAAGACCAAGAAAAUGCAGCCAAGCAAAGUUCAACUGACAAAGAGCGUCCGAGUGAAAUCCACUCGGGCAAUCCGACUGAAAUAUACUCGGGCAAUCCGAGUGAUGAGGCACCAGAUCUAGAAAAAGAGGAAGAGGCGUUGGAAAAUUAUUCAGAAGUGGUUCGUACUAGAAGGGGUACUCUUUGAGGUCCUUGGUGUUGGUUGAAUAGAUGAGAUUGUGUGACGCAUAUCGUAUAAUCAUACCCACGGAUACUUGAGGUGACAUUGGAGUAUCUAGGUGACAUUAGGGUUUUGGUUGAUUUGUGUCUUAAGGUGUUAUUCUAGUACGAACUCUAGGGCUGUUUGUGACACUUAUAGGAAUAGCCCAACGGAUUGAUUGGAAAGAAUAACUUUGAGGUGGUUUCGUACCCUACCAUAAUCUCUUCGUUCGUUCUCCGCUAUUAGUGACUUUGGAGUGACUCUUUGUUGCAUAUUGAGGGAUGGUUAUGUGAUCCAAUUAUAUUAUUAUUGUUGAGGGAACUUACACUAGCGAAAGUAUGAACCCUAGGCCUUAUUUCCUAUCAUUGCAAUACCGUUUAUGCUCACUUUUAUCACUUGCUACCUUGCUGUUUUUAUAAUUUCAGAUUACAAAUACCUUUAUCUACUAUCCAUAUUGCACUUGUAUCACCAUCUCUUCGCCGAACUAGUGCACCUAUACAAUUUACCAUUGUAUUGGGUGUGUUGGGGACACAAGAGACUCUUUGUUAUUUGGUUGCAGGGUUGCUUGAGAGAGACCAUCUUCAUCCUACGUCUCCUACGGAUUGAUAAACCUUAGGUCAUCCACUUGAGGGAAAUUUGCUACUGUCCUACAAACCUCUACACUUGGAGGCCCAACAACGUCUACAAGAAAAAGGUUGUGUAGUAGACAUCACUGACAUUCUCCCUCUUUAUGUAAACCUUGUAAAAUAAGAGAGAGCAGGCAUAAGUAUUGUGACAUAAUGUGUAAUAACAUCCCAUAAUGCAAUAAAUAUCGAUAUAAAAGCAUGAUGAAAAAUGGAUGUAUCAGUGGGCCGGAUGACUAAGAGUCGUCGCGGCAAGCUCUACAUCAACGACGAUGGCUGGGGCCCCGAGGUCGGCUCAAUCGAGUACGGGUACCGGGUCCCCUUCGGCGGAAUCUGAAGGAAAUAUGCCCUAGAGGCAAUAAUAAAGUUAUUAUUUAUUUCCUUAUUUCAUGAUAAAUGUUUAUUAUUCAUGCUAGAAUUUUAUUAACCAGAAACUUGAUACAUGUGUGAAUACAUAGACAAACAGAAUGUCACUAGUAUGCCUCUACCUGACUAGCUCGUUGAAUCAAAGAUGGUUAAGUUUCCUAGCCAUAGACAUGAGUUGUCAUUUGAUUAACGGAAUCACAUCAUUAGAGAAUGAUGUGAUUGACUUGACCCAUUUUGUUAUCUUAGCACUUGAUCGUUUAGUAUGUUGCUAUUGCUUUCUUCAUGACUUAUACAUGUUCCUAUGACUAUGAGAUUAUGCAACUCUCUUUUACCGGAGGAACACUUUGUGUGCUACCAAAUGUCACAACGUAACUGGGUGAUUAUAAAGGUGCUCUACAGGUGUCUCCAAAGGUACUUAUUGAGUUGGCAUAUUUCGAGAUUAGGAUUUGUCACUCCGAUUGUCGGAGAGGUAUUUCUGGGCCCUCUCGGUAAUGCACAUCACUAUAAGCCUUGCAAGCAUUGUGACUAAUGAGUUAGUUGCGGGAUGAUGCAUUACGGAAUGAGUAAAGAGACUUGCCGGUAACGAGAUUGAACUAGGUAUUGAGAUACCGACGGUCGAAUCUUGGGCAAGUAACAUACUGAUGACAGAGGGAACAAUGUAUGUUGUUAUGCGGUUUGACCGAUAAAGAUCUUCGUAGAAUAUGUAGGAACCAAUAUGAGCGCCCAGGUUCCGCUAUUGGUUAUUGACCGGAGACAUGUCUCGGUCAUGUCUACAUAGUUCUCGAACCCGUAGGGUCCGCACGCUUAACGUUCGGUGAUGAUCGGUAUUAUGAGUUUAUGUGAUUUGAUGUACCGAAAGUAGUUCGGAGUCCCGGAUGAGAUCGGGGACAUGACAAGGAGUCUCGAAAUGGUCGAGACGUAAAGAUCGAUAUAUUGGACGACUAUAUUCGGACAUCAGAAAGGUUCCGAGUGGUUCGGGUAUUUUUUGGCAUACCGGAGAGUUACGGGAAUACGGGGGAGAAGUAUUGGGCCUAAUGGGCCAAGUGGUGGAAGAGAGGAGGCAGGGUGCGCGGCACCCCUAGCCCAAACCGAAUUGGACUAGGGGGCCGGCCCCCCUUUCCUCCUUUCCUCCCUCUCCUUCCUUCUCCCCUUCCCCCUUCCUUUCCUCCUCCUAGUAGGAGUAGGAAAGGGGAGUCCUACUCCUACUAGGAGGAGGACUCCUCCUCCUGGCGCGCUAGAAAGUUGAUCCUUUAUAUACGGGGGCAGGGGGCACCCUAGAAAGUUGAUCAUUGAUCCCUUAGCCAUGUCUCCACCAUAAUCCACCUCGAUCAUAUCGUACCGGUGCUUAGGCGAAGCCCUGCGUUGGUAGCAACAUCAUCACCGUCAUCACGCUAUCGUGCUGACGGAACUCUCCUGUGAAGCUCUGCUGGAUCGGAGUUCGUGGGACGUCAUCGAUGUUAUAUGCACGAGUAGAACACAAGUGAGUUGUGGGCGAUACAAGUCAUAUUGCUUACCAGCAUGUCACACUUUGGUUCGGCGGUAUUGUUGGAUGAAGCGGCCCGGACCGACAUUACACGUACGCUUACGCGAGACUGGUUCUAUUGACGUGCUUUGCACACAGGUGGCUGGCGGGUGUCAGUUUCUCCAACUUUAGUUGAACCGAGUGUGGCUACGCCCGGUCCUUGAGAAGGUUAAAACAUCACUAACUUGACGAACUAUCCUUGUGGUUUUGAUGCGUAGGUAAGAACGGUUCUUGCUAAGCCCGUAACAGCCACGUAAAACUUGCAACAACAAAGUAGAGGACAUCUAACUUGUUUUUGCAAGGCAUGUUGUGAUGUGAUAUGGUCAAGACGUGAUGAGAUAUAAAUUGUUGUAUGAGAUGAUCAUGUUUUAUUGAAGUUGUCGGCAACUGGAAGAAGCCUUAUGGUUGUCUCUUUAUUGCAUAAGAUGCAAGCGCCAAAUAAUUGCUUUACUUUAUCACUAUGCGAUAGCAAUAGUUGCAAGAGCAAUAGUUGGCGAGACAACCAUGUGAUGACACAUUGAUAAAUAUCAAGAUGAUGGAGAUCAUGGUGUCAUGCCGGUGACGAUGGAAAUCAUGAUGAUACUUUAGAGAUGGAGAUCAAAGGCGCAAUAUGAUCAUGGCCAUAUCAUGUCGCAUAUUUUGAUUGCAUGUGAUGUUUAUCUUUUAUACAUCUUAUUUUGCUUAGUUCGGCGGUAGCAUUAUAAGAUGGUCUCUCACUAAAUUUCAAGGUAAAAGUAUUCUCCCUGAGUAUGCACCGUUGUCAAAGUUCGCCGUGCCGAGACACCACGUGAUGAUCGGGUGUGAUAAGCUCUAUGUUCAUCUACAACGGGUGCAAGAAAGUUUUGCACACGCAGAAUACUCGAGUUAAACUUGACGAGCCUAGCAUAUGCAGAUAUGGCCUCGGAACACUGGAGACCGAAAGGUCGAGUGUGAAUCAUAUAGUAGAUAUGAUCAACAUAGUGAUGUUCACCAUUGAAAACUACUCCAUCUCACGUGAUGAUCGGACAUGGUUUAGUUGAUUUGGAUCACGUGGUCAUUUAGAUGACUAGAGGGAUGUCUAUCUAAGUGGGAGUUCUUAAGUAAUAUGAUUAAUUGAACUUUAAUUUAUCAUGAACUUAGUCUGAUAGUAUUUGUAUAACUAUGUUGUAGAUCAAUAGCUCGUGAUGUUGCUCCCCGUUUAUUUUUAAUAUGUUCCUAGAGAAAAAUUAUGUUGAAAGAUGUUAGUAGCAAUGAUGCGGAUUGGAUCCAUGAUCUAAGGAUUAUCCUCAUUGCUGCACAGAAGAAUUAUGUCCUUGAUGCACCGCUAGGUGACAGACCGAUUACAGGAGCAGAUACAGAUGUUAUGAACGUUUGGCAAGCUCGAUAUGAUGACUACUUGAUAGUUUAGUGCACCAUGCUUUACGGCUUAGAAUCGGGGCUUCAAAGACGUUUUGAACGCCACAGAACAUAUAAGAUGUUCUAAGAGUUGAAAUUGGUAUUUCAUACUCAUGCCCGUGUCAAGAGGUAUGAGACCUCUGACAGUACUUUGCCUACAAGAUGGAGGAGAAUAGAUCAACCAGUGAGCAUGUACUCAGAUUGUCUGGGUACUACAAUUGCUUGAAUCAAGUGGGAGUUAAUCUUCCAGAUAAGAUAGUAAUUAACAAAGUUCUCUAGUCACUAUCACCAAGUUACUAGAACUUCAUGAUGAACUAUAAUAUGCAAAGGAUGACGAAAGUAAUUCUCGAGCUCUUCGCGAUGCUGAAAUUGGCGAAGGUAGAAAUCAAGAAAAACAUCAAGUGUUGAUGGUUGACAAGACCACUAGUUUCAAGAAAAGGGGCAAAUGGAAGAAGGGGAACUUUAAGAAGAAUGGCAAGCAAGUUGUUGCUCAAGUGAAGAAGCCCAAGUUUGGACCUAAGCAUGAGACUAAGUGCUUCUUGUUCGCACACAAACACGUCACCGUGUACCUCCAAUGCCGAGGGUGAUGCACCGCAGCUCACGUCGAAGGAGACCCGGCCGGAAGCGUGGUAUGCAGGCAAUCCAGCAGGCGCUUUUGAAGACCCGAAACCCCACACGCCCGGGAGGGACCCCGUCUGAAUGUGUAGCAGCUAUGGGCUGCCAUAGGUCGACCUGAUCGCCCCUAGGGCCUCGAGGUUCGCCGCCCUGCAAAGAAGAAGAAUAGAUGAAGAACGAGGAAGAAGAAGAACUAGGGUUAAGGAGAAAAGAUAAAGGAUAAAAAGUGAUAGAUGAUUUGAUCAAUUGUAUGUUGUUCAAUCGGCCGUCACCCCUUAGAUGUAUAAGAGGUGGCUGGACUUCCCAUGCAAGGAAAAGGCUUGAAUUCACGUCCAAAACCCUAGUCAAAUUUGGAUUGGUUUUGUCCGAACUUUCCAAAACUGUUCGGUUUAAACUGGCUGCACCUUACGGGUCUUUUUUGUGGUGGUAAACGAUCUCGUAUGAAAACGAGCCCAAAAGCAAUCUUGACCGUUUCGACAAGACGAACAACUUUUGUGUUGAACGUUUUUUAAUCAGAGGUCAUCUUGAGGAUCAAAUCAGUCGCGCAAAACAGGCUAUUCCCUCGCGCUACCCAUCACACAUGUGUCUGGUGGGGCGCGCCACAUCUCGCCUCGUGACAGGGCUGCACUCCGAUUUGGACGAUUUUUAUAUCAAAAUCGACCGUUUCAACGAGAAGAAGACAAUUCGUGUAGACCAUUUUUCCAUAUGAGGCAGUCUUGAGGGCGUAAUCAGCUGAAUAGUGUUCUGAAUACAAAAUCUCAGAACUUCGAACAUAACUUCGGCCUUAGAGAUGAGACCGGAUGGCUAUGGCGCAAAUAUCAAAGUUUCUCCUUUUGACGAUACGGAACUUUCUCACAUUGAGCACUUUUCCAUUUGAGGUCUUCUUAAUUAUGCUUUUGACCAUGCCAAAAUCUGGUGUCAACACAUGCCCCCCUGUUUUUCGGCAAAGCAUGUGUGCCGAAAAAUAACUUGCGCAUAGCUUGUUCUAAGGACGAUGCCAACACUCCAUCGGCCAUUUUGCAUGUUCUUAGAACGAUAAGUAUAUAUCGGCCAUUGCUUGUUUGAACCUCUUGAUGCAAACUUCGGUGAAAACUUCUCAGCUUCUAUAACAAUCCAGUGAUAAGGUUCCAUAGAUCAAAACCAUCCCCCGAACCAUAUUAUUCCCCCUUUUGCUAGGAUUUUGCAGAUAAUCAAGAAUGGACUUCCUUCAAUCCUUACUUCAUCUCAUGAUAAACUAAAAGUGAUUCGUCAAAACAUUUAUAGCUUUUAUUGUUGUACUACUCAUAACAAAUCACCGAAAGCCUCAAUAUGUAUAGCACCUAUAGCAAGGAAAAGCUCCAAUCCGAAUAACAAUGCAUAUUUGGCUUUGAUCAUUUGUGCAUAAAUAUUUUAAGCGGCAUGAGGUUUCACAAAAUAGCACCAUAAGGAGAUAUAUAAACAACACCAACACCUUGGCCAUUGCUACAAAUUUGACCAUCAAUAUAUAACCGCCAUGGUACUAGAGAGAUCAAGCUAAAACCAAUAUUAUGUAUGACAUUAAUCCGAUGUUCAGUAAUAAAAUCAACUAUGAUUUGGCCUUUUAUAGAUCUCAAAGAUGCAUAAGCCAAAUCGUAUCCAAAAAAAGUAUAAGCCCACUAACCAAUUCUACAGCUAUGAAUUGGUCUAUGCAGCAUAUAUUCAAUGAUAUCGGUCAAGAUGUCUCAACUCCAUUCAAUCAUAAUAUAGGCAUGCAUAUAAAUUUCCAUGAGCACGUACCUUGUCUCGCUCUCCAAUCGAACUAAGCACGAUGUUAGAGUACUACACCGGCCAUGCGUUGACAUAAUCUUAGGACGAUAGAUAAAUAUCGGCCAUUACCAUGUAAACUUCAUUCAAAGCACAUAUAGCUGAAAUAAAUAAAUGAAAUGACAAAUCAAGUAUUUCAUCCCUUUGGAUCAGCAACAAACUUGUAGCUAAUCAAAUGUAUAGUGACUUGGUAAUACCCUUUCAUGACGUAAGAAAUUAUAUUGCAUCCAUGGAUUAAAAUAAGCCCAUUGAGGGUUACCAAUCAUACCUAAUGACGAAUUCCAUGACAUAGGCGUUAAUGGCAUAGUUGAAGAAUAUGGAUAAUGUGUAGACCAAGAAUGUUGAAACCUUCGGCUUGGUCCUUCAUAGUUUUCACUCUUUUCCUUCUUCACCUUUGUCGCACUUAUUGUAAUGUAAGCUUGCACAUAAUUCUUAUUUUGAGCACUUCCUUUGGGAACCCGUGCCAUGUUCCUUUCUUCAAGUUCUUGUGCACUAAGUUUUUGUAAUUUCUUCUUUUGCCAAUACGAUGAGCCGAGUGGGUAUCUCGGCUGCGAUUCUGUUUUGACCAAUGACAACUCUUUUUCGGCCUUGUGCACUCUCAACUUCUUUUCUUCAGAUUUGGCACUUUGACUUUCAAUAAUUGGUUGCUUCAUCUCAUUGCCUUUAGUAGCCAAUGUCAACACUUUAAUUGGCUCUUUGUUAUUUGAGAUCAAAUCUGAAGUAGCACACUUACGACCAUCUCUUUUAACACGGUACACUUGUUUGACCACCUCUUUCUUCUUCUUUGAGCUCCGGACCAAUUCCUUAUGAUUGAAACGGUCUUUAACAUAUAAUUGUUCAAAUGUUGAUCUUCUCGGAGAUGCAUAAUAUGAGUGAGAUGGUCUAAAAUAAGAUGGAGAGUGUACCCUUGUAUCAUACCUGUCCCAUGAUGGAUAUGGAUCUACAUGAGCAUAGGGAUGCAUCCACGGCAUUGGCACUGGCAGCCCAAAAUAAGGAUAUGAAUAUGUUGCAUUAAAAUGCUCGGUUUGCCAAUACCAUCCUCAUAUUUGUGCCUUGGGGACGGUCUUGGUUUCUUUGCAUGAUCUGGUCGAUAAGCAUUCUUAUCUUCACUCUUCUUUUGAUAUUUAUCCAAUAGUUCAGUGAAGGUGAUUUUUGAUCUCUUACACUGGCGCUUAUUUCGGCCUUUGUUUUCUUUUGGUUCGCUUUCAUCGAUCACUGGAUUUGCUUGUUGCCCCCCAGUCCUUAGCAUCUUCAUUGUAGCUUCGAUGGAAUUCUCGCCCUCAAGAUUAUGUUCAUUAUGCUCUUCAAAAACUUCUUUACUUGAAAGCUUGAUCCCAUCAUCUGCAGCUUUUACCUUCUCUUAAAAUGGAUCGUCUUGAAGCAGCCGAUGCAAAAAAAUUCUGCCAUCGGGACCAAUCAGAAUAGACUGGUCAUCUCUUGGUGUCUCAACAAAUUUCAAUCGUCCUUUAUCAAUGGCUGAUUUAACUAUUUGACGAAACAUGUUACAAUCCUCAAAGUUAUGCUUGGAUGAAUCAUGCAACUUACAAUACAUUCGUCCCUGGACAGAUGGCUCAACAUGAUGAUCAAGAAUUCUAAUAUAAUUAUUUCUCAACAACAAAUCAAAUAUUUGAUCACACAUGCUUGAAUUGAAGGUAAACUUUUUAUUCUCUAGCCGAUCUUGUUGUGAGAACGGCUUUGGAGUUAAGCAGACGAAUGGUUCAGAUUUUGCAUCACCCCAUUCGGCUAUGCAUUGUGUUUUGCACUCUAUCUUUGAUGUCUUUGGAUAAGAAACUAUACUGGCAUCGGUUUGCUCAGAAGAUUUUAACGUUGGCUUUAAAUUUUUGAAACCAAAAUAGCUAGAACAUACAUGUCUCAAUUGAGACCAAGUGUAAGCCAAGUAAGAAAUAAGCAGAGCUACCCAAUUAGAUAUGAGCAUUAGAUAAAGCAAUGGGGAAAGCCUUGGCUGCAAUAAUUUUUCGCAAUCGGUCUUUUUGAAUGGUGCAAUAUGUUGACCGAUAUGCUUUGUGACAAUCUGAUUGCUAACAGAUAAAUUACCCUUCUUCAUUGGUCUCUCAAUAUUUGUUAUGAAGAUUUUUCUAAUAUAUGCAUCAACAACUAAGUCAUGACCAAAUCUAAAAACAGGUAAAUUAAUUGCUAGACAUACAUCUUCAAAUAUGUUGGGAGAGCAUGAUGGUGGUGUGACUUGAAGAAUAUCUUGCUCUGCCUUCGGAUAGCUCCCCAGUGCCUUGUCAUCAUCUUUCUCUUGAUUUAGUGCAUCAUUAGUUUGAAGAACUUCGUCCACCAACUUUCUUCGGCCACUCGUUCUUGUUCUUGAAGCUCAUCAAUUUCUAUGGCACGAAACUCAUAGGGCAGGAAGUAGGUUCCAUUAACUUCAGAAAAAUCAAGUAUGGUUGUCUUGCUAUACUUUCCAUGCCCUUUCUCAACAAUGUUUGCCUCUUUGGAUUUGAUGGAUUCGGAAUAUAUACUGCUUGAUUCGGCUUUUUCAACCGAAGCACUUUUAGUUUCCGAAUCAUCAUUCUUUUCACCGGGUUAUAUCAAUUGGCAAGGAUUCUUUUCUUUGAGCUAAUUCCCUAUCAAUUCUUUCUUGGCGAAGUACUUGCACCCUAUCACGCAAAGCUUUAACUCUCCUCUCAAUUUCAGUCCGUCCGCUCUAGAUUAGUUUGCCCCCCAAUGCUUUUAGGAUCUUUCGGCAAUGAAGUUUUAGUGUUGCUGAAAUUUUGCAAUUGUGUAGGGGGUAUAUAAUAUGUUGUGGUACUAGGUAGAGGUGUAUGCACUGUUGUAUAACCAUAUGCUCUCUCACCAAUGCUAUCAAUUGAUGAAGUUUUAUCUUCCUGCAAAACUCUAGCCUUUAUUGCAGUAUAAUCAGGAAACAACCCAUUUUCAUAUUGUUCAAGGUAAAGAGCACUAAUUCUCUUGUUUUGUGUCAAGCUCUUUUUUAAUGCAGCCAUAACCGUUUCUGGAAGGGAUUGCUCCGCAAUACUUUCAGAUUCUUUCGGCAAUGAUUUGUGAGUGUUGCCAAAAUUCUUGAAUUGCAUAGAGUAUGCAUUAUAUGCUACAGUAUUUGAUGACGGCACAUGUGUUCCUGUAAAAGUUUCACUUAUUCGGCUAACCUCUGAGGUUUGUUAGACAUGUCAUCUCUGACCUCUGUGUGCAUUUGUUAUGACCGGCUUGGUCUAUUCUAGGAAGAGGCCCACCGGGCAUUAGUAUUAGGGGCUUGGCCCACAAGUUAUCUUAGGCAAAUUAUCUUAGGAAAGUUAUCUUAGGCUAAAGUUAUAAAUACUCAUGUAAGACAUCGUUUUGAGGCAAGCAAUAAAGACUAUUAUUAUCUUUUGUUGCCCGGCUCCUAGAAGAGCCAGAAACCCUAGCCGCCGCAGCCAAGCCGCCGCCGCCCUCAACCCUAGCCGCGACGGCGCCCUGCCGCCGGCGCGCCCAUUCCUCACCGUGUCCACUCCCUCCUUGCCCCUACAACCUACGCAGUAGAGCCGGUAGGAACCCUAGUCCUACCAAUUUGGUAAUCAGAGACCACGUUGCGAUCAUGUCGCUGCCGCCAUCACCGCCGCCGCUGCCCGUCGGUACCACCGCGCCCAUGACGAUGGCGCCAAUCAUCACCGCGCUGACCACAUCCGCCGGGACCUCGCUGGCGUGUCCCAUCUCCUCCUCGGCACCGCCGUCUCCGGGCGCAUCUGCACCAUCGCCGGUGGCCGCCUUGUCUCUGGAGCAACUCGCCGCCACGCUACAUCACCUCGUCACCGCCGUCCACGGUCUUCAGCUCCAACAGCAAUAUGGGGCCGGGGCCUACGCUCACCCGCUGUCGGCCCCGAUCGCCGCCCCUGGUCUUCUCCUAUAGCAGCAGCCGCAGUACAGGGGCGGGGCGGGCCCCUUCACGCCACCACCAGGACCGCACCAGGGCGCGCCCGCGUACGGCGGGUCCCCGUUCUGGCCGAUCCAGGCGGGCUUGGCAUCCGGGCCAGCGCCGGCUGCGGCGCCCCUCUGGCCUUUGCCGCCGGCAACCUCGGCCGCCUCCUGGCUGCAGCAGCCGCCGCCCACCGUCUGGCCGGUUCAGCAGACGCCGUCCCCCGCAUGGCCGGUCCAGCAGCCGCCGCCGCCGGCGUCCCAGGUCCUGCUUCCACCGCCGUUCUCCGCGCCCUCAUCAUCCGGGACCAGCUCGGGCGCGGCCUCGACUACCGGGUUACCGAUCCAUCAGGUCCGGUUUCCCCCGUCCCCGUCCCCCCUGCCACCAUGGGCGGCGGGGUCUUCGCCUUCGCCGGUCUACACCACGACCCCGGUUGAGCCGACUCCGUUCCCGCAGUUCGGCGGGCCAUCUGGCCCCGCCGGCCCGUACCCGGACUACUCCGAUCAGGCACCCCCUGCUUCACUGUUCUGAGCCCCCGAGCCUGCUCGGCACGGCGGGCCGCAGCAGACACCGCCGCGGUUCACCAAACUCGACUUCGCCACCAAUGAGGGCACGGAGGACCCCCUCAACUGGCUCAACCAGUGCGAGCAGUUCUUUCGAGGGCAGCGGACGCUCGCUUCAGAUCGUACCUGGCUCACAUCCUAUCAUCUUCGAGACGCAGCGCAGACCUGGUACUACGCCCUCGAGCAGGACGAGGGCGGCAUGCCACCGUGGGAGCGCUUUCGGGAGCUCUGUCUCCUCCGUUUUGGGCCUCCUAUCCGCGGGAGCCGACUGGCGGCCCUCGGCCGUUUACCAUUCACAUCUACAGUGCAGGACUACGCCGACCGCUUCCAGGCCCUGGCGUGCCACGCGCCGGGCGUCUCCGCGACCCAGCGCGCCGAGCUCUUUGUGGGCGGUCUGCCGGACCAUAUCCGCAUCGACGUCGAGCUCCGGGAUCCCCCCGACCUCUAGACGGCCAUGUACUAUGCCCGGGCCUUCGAGCGGCGGGCCCAGGCACUGCAGCAGCCACUCGGAUGGAGCGGUCGCCAGCCCAGUUGGCUAGCACUGACUUCCUCAGCCCCGGGUCGGCCUCUCCCAGCCGUGACGGCCACACCCCCGGCCGCCACACGGCCCUUCCGUCGGCUGUCACCGGCCGAGCAGCAGGAGCGUCGCCGUCAGGGUCUCUGCUUCAACUGCGAUGAGCCCUAUACGCCGACCCAUGUCUGCCCCCGCCUCUUUUAUUUAGAGACGGUCGACUACACCGAGGAGGACGACUUGCCCGACCCGUUACAUCCGCCUGCGGCGCCCGAGGACGCGGCCGCGGAUUCCGCAGCAACGGCGUGCAUCGUCUCCCUUCACGCCCUGGCCGGCAUCCGGGGUGAGCGGACCAUGCUGCUGCCCGUGACGAUCCAUGGCGAGCGACUGGUGGCCCUGCUGGAUACGGGCUCCACACACAACUUUCUGCCCGAGUCGACCAUGCGUCGGCUAGCCCUCCCAACGACGGGCGGGGAGCGCCUGCGGAUCACAGUGGCGAACGGCGAUCGCCUCCGGUGCCAUGGGCUAGCCCGCGACGUUCCCAUCUCCAUCGGCGGCGAACACUUUUCCAUCACCUGUGUAGGGAUCGAUCUGGGCUGCUUCGACUUCAUCCUCGGGGUGGACUUUCUCCGGACCCUCGGCCCCAUCCUGUGGGAUUUCGACGCGCUCACGAUGACAUUCUGGCGGCAGGGCCGCCACAUCCGGUGGGAGGGCAUUGGGGGCGCCGCGCCUGCCGUGCCACACCUCCAGCUGGCUGCCGCGUCCUCGGAGGCCGAGCACCCCCUGCUGGAUUCUCUUCUGCAGCAGCACAGCGACCUCUUCGACGAUCCGCGGGGUCUUCCACCGGCCCGGGUGUACGACCAUCAUAUUCACCUCGUACCAGGCUCCACUCCGGUGGCGGUACGGCCCUACCGCUACCCCCAGCUGCAGAAGGAUGAGUUGGAGCGCCAAUGUGCCCUGAUGCUCGCCGCAGGCAUCAUCCGGAUCUCCACGUCGCCCUUCACGGCGCCGGUGCUUCUCGUCCGUAAGUCAGACAGCACAUGGCGCUUCUGCAUCGACUACCGCGCCCUCAACGCACUCACGCUCAAGGACAAGUUCCCUAUACCGGUGGUCGACGAGCUCUUGGAUGAGCUCCAUGGGGCACGCUUCUUCACCAAGCUCGAUCUCCGGUCGGGCUAUCAUCAGGUGCGCAUGCAUCCGGACGACAUCGCCAAGACGGCGUUUCGCACCCACCAUGGCGACUUCGAGUUCUUGGUGAUGCCUUUCGGCCUCGCCAACGCCCCGGCGACGUUCCAGGCCCUGAUGAACGACGUCCUUCGACCCUACUUACGGCGGUUUGUGCUUGUUUUCUUUGAUGACAUUCUUAUCUACAGCGCCACCUGGGCCGAACACCUCCAGCACGUCGCCACCGUCUUCAACGAGCUUCAGGCGCACCACCUCCACCUUAAGCGCUCGAAGUGCUCGUUCGGGACGCCUACCGUCGCCUACCUCGGCCAUGUCAUCUCGGCCGACGGGGUGGCUAUGGACGCCGAUAAGGUGGCGGCCGUCACCGCCGGGCCGACGCCUCACUCGCCGCGGGCUCUCCGCAGGUUCCUCGGACUCGCCGGCUACUACCGAAAAUUUAUCCGGGAGUUCGGACUCAUCGCGGCGCCCCUCACGCGGUUGCUUCGCCGCGACGCCUUCACCUGGGACGACGAGGCGACGACGGUGUUCGAGGCCCUCAAGGGGGCCCUCACGACGGGCCCCGUCCUCAAGAUGCCCGACUUUGACCGUCCGUUCGUGGUGGACUGUGAUGCCUCGGGCGCCGGGUUCGGCGCCGUACUUCAUCAGGGCGAUGGGCCCCUCGCCUUCUUCAGCCGGCCUUUCGCUCCGCGCCAUCUUAAGUUGGCCGCUUACGAGCGGGAGCUCAUUGGCCUAGUCCAGGCCGUGCGUCAUUGGCGGCCAUACUUGUGGGGGCGGACCUUCCACAUUCGCACGGACCACUACAGCCUGAAGUUCAUCCUGGAUCAAUGGCUGCCGACCGUUCCGCGGCACCAGUGGAUCAGCAAGCUCUUCGGCUUUGACUUCUCCGUCGAGUAUCGGCCGGGCCGUCUUAACACCGUGGCCGACGCGCUGUCCCGUCGCGAUUCCGACCUCGCGCCACCCGCCGACGCGUCCGCCGGGACGGCCCUGUGCAUCCGCUCCGGGCCAUCGUCCGGUCUCUUCACCGACAUUCGACGCGCCACUGCGAUGGCCGAUGACGCCGCACUUCUUCAGCAGCAGCUCGCGGACGGCGACUUGGAGGAGCCCUGGCGCUUCUCUGACGGACUGCUCCUCCAUGAACGCCGGAUCUUUGUUCCGGCGCAUGACGAUCUCCGUCACCAGGUGUUGCAGCUCGCUCACUCGGCGGGCCAUGAGGGUGUGCAGAAAACCCUCCAUCGUCUUCGCGCCGAAUUCUACAUCCCUGGCGAUCGUGCCCUGGUCCGCGACUGGGUUCGGUCUUGUCAGACUUGCCAGCGCAACAAGACAGAGACCCUGAGGCCGGCGGGGCUCCUUCAGCCCUUGCAGGUGCCGUCUCAGGUUUGGGCAGAUAUCUCCUUGGACUUCAUCAAGGGCCUUCCCAAGGUGGGGGGCAAGUCAGUCAUCCUCACGGUGGUUGAUCGCUUCUCUAUGUACGCCCACUUCAUCGCGCUGGGCCAUCCGUACACGGCGGCGUCCGUAGCCCGGGCCUUCUUCGACGGCAUAGUCCGUCUACACGGGUUUCCGACGUCGAUCGUCAGUGGUCGGGACCCUGUCUUCACGGGCCAUGUCUGGCGCGACCUCUUCAGGAUGGCGGGUGUCCAGCUCCGCCUGAGUACGGCGUUCCAUCCUCAGACGGACGGUCAGUCUGAGGUGGUUAACAAGGUCAUUGCCAUGUAUUUGCGUUGUGUGACAGGUGAUCGGCCUCGCGCUUGGGUGGACUGGCUCUUUUGGGCGGAGUACUGCUACAACACUUCUUAUCACUCCGCCCUGCGCGCGACGCCAUUUGAGGUGGUCUAUGGUCGACCACCCCCGCCUAUACUUCCGGUCGACCCGGAGAUGGCUCGGACGGCGGUUGCGGGUGACCUUAUCCGCACCCGUGAUGAGAUGCUGGCUGAGGUCCGUCAGCGUCUCCUUCAGGCCCAGCAGACGGCCAAGCACUACUACGACGAUCAUCAUCGCGAGGCGGAGUUCGCAGUGGGUGACUGGGUGGGGCUCCGUCUUCUCCACCGCUCUACGCAGUCACUGGACCCGCGCGCAAAGCGCAAGCUUGGCCCUCGCUACGCCGGGCCAUUCCCUGUCGUGGAGCACAUUGGGAAGGUGGCCUAUCGUCUACAGCUUCCAGCCCGCGCCCGCGUCCACGACGUGUUCCGGCUGCUCAAGCCUUUCUGUGGCGAGCCACCGGCGGCUCCUCCGGCGCUUCCUCCAACCGCCGAUGGUCGCAUUCUUCCAGAGCCAGCAAAGGUGUUGCAGGCUCAGCUCCGUCGUGGCGUCUGGUUCGUCCUAAUUCAGUGGGCGGGCCUUCCGGAGGAGGAGGCUACUUGGGAGCAGCGUGAGGAAUUCCGUCAACACUAUCCAGACUUUCAGCUCGAGGACGAGCUGUUUGCGCAGGCGGGGAGAGAUGUUAUGACCGGCUUGGUCUAUUCUAGGAAGAGGCCCACCGGGCAUUAGUAUUAGGGGCUUGGCCCACAAGUUAUCUUAGGCAAAUUAUCUUAGGAAAGUUAUCUUAGACUAAAGUUAUGAAUACUCAUGUAAGACAUCGUUUUGAGGCAAGCAAUAAAGACUAUUAUUAUCUUUUGUUGCCCGGCUCCUAGAGGAGCCGGGCACCCUAGCCGCCGCAGCCAAGCCGCCGCCGCCCUCAACCCUAGCCGCGACGGCGCCCUGCCGCCGGCGCGCCCGUUCCUCGCCGCGUCCACUCCCUCCUUGCCCCUACAACCUACGCAGUAGAGCCGGUAGGAACCCUAGUCCUACCAGCAUUAUCAUCUCUAACUGUUGCUCAGCUUCUAAUGUUAGCUGCUCUGCUUUGCAUAUGACAGGGUCUGACCGUUUUCCCACAAGGAUACAGAAACCCCAAUGUUCCAGGGUGUACGAAGCGAAAGCAACCUGACUGGGCGCCUUCAGAUUUUGUUGAACAAGGACUUUGUGAAGAUUUUCUGCCUGCUGCAUCGACUAUGGUACAACUUGAGAACCUAUACGCUCAGUUACAGGAGCAUGCGUUAAAUGUUGGGGCCACUUCUUUCAAGUGCAAGAGCGAUAAAAGGGAGCGCACCCAUGUGUCUUCCUUUGUGGACAAAGAAACUCAGGUUACUGCUUUAAUCUUAUCGUUUCUGAAAUUCUUUCUAGGGAAUCUUACUGCUAACCAUUACCUUCUCUUUGACAUCAUACUUACCAUAUUAUCCGAUUCUGGAACAAGAAGCUAGGAAAGUACGUUGAUUUUCUGCGAUAGAAUGCAACCGGGUACAUAGUUGCUUUUCGGGCCUUCGCUGAUAUUAACGCGAUAAAAUACGCUCACUGGUGUUGCUUCAAGGACGACAAGCAGGUCCAAAGUGACUUUCCUGACACCACAUUUGAGGUCACAAAUUAUCAGGCGGGCUACAUAGAUGUGUACGUCAUUUACAAGUCACCUUCUCCUGCUGUCUUGAGUAUCUAUUUUUUCUUUCUUUUUUCCUAUUUUAUCUCUGACAAAGAAAAGAUGUGCAUUUUUUACAGUGCUGCGGUUGUCUUUGGUGUGGACACGGUCCAAUGAUACUUGAUGAGAUUUGCGCAGUACAUGAGGAGUAUGAUCAAGAAACAGUACAUGAGCAUCAUCACAAAACAAAAAAGCUGGUUAAACGUCUUCUGCACUUCUGUUUGUGUUGUUAGGUGAAGGUCCAAGGUUUGAUCUUAUCAAAGCGACUAUAUACUCAAGCAUAGAGAAGUUCUCUCACAAGUAUUGCCUAAAACAUCUUAGAUUAGCCGCUAUUUUGGAAGAAGUAAUUCAAAACUGGUCCAGUCUCUCAAAAACAACAUAUUUCCUAUUGCUUGUGCAUUAUGAAAAGAAGAUAAAGGCGAAGUGCCUUAGGGAGAGACAUGAUCCUGCUGAUAGUUCACUGCCACACUUUAGUCAUCGUCGACUAUUUUUGCAAUUUGAGGCACAUGCUAGGAUAGCAUGGUACCGCUGCUUACAGGUGGAAGUCGGUGAAAAAAAGAUUCAGCAUGUCCUUAAAUUGAGAAAAGAUUCUGUGGAUGGGAAAUGGAUGUAUUAUGGGGAUGUAGCAUGUAAUCAGCUUCUUGGUGAUCAUCUGUCGCUUCUGAAGUAUCUGGACCAGUAUACUACUUCUGUGAUUAUGAGAGCUACUGGUUACCAGAAAGAACUGCACCCUACACUCUCUUCGUCAUCAGAAUCUGAUGAAAAGAACGAGAAAGGGAAAGACAAAGAGAAAGAGAAAGAGAAAGAGAAAGAGAGAGAGAGAGAGAGAGAGAGAGAGAGAGAGAGAGAGAGAGACGAAGUGGAUUACAAAAGAUGCAGAAUUUUGGAAGAAGUUCGCCGACUUCAAAGAGCAUCAUCAAAACUCUACGCUGUCUGCUACUCUUCACUUUGUCAAUGAUGCCCUCCCAUUCCUGCAACGUUGGGUUUUUGAAGCGGUCAAAGCUGAUUUGUAUGAGGAAGUCAAGGUUAUUUGUAGCAAGUUUAAAACUGCAUUGCAGAGGUAUAUUCAUCUAUUGUUGCUAGUUCCUGAUGUUUUCAUUGCUCUUCUAUCAUAGUAUGUUGCUCUUUUUGUCUAACAUCUUUGUUUCGUCAGAAUGAACGAGAUUGAAGCUGCGGAGUACGCUUGUGAUUGAUGGCCUGCCAGAAGGGUUGACAAACUGACAAAGCUGAAGCCUAUCUUCAAAUUUCUUAAUGAAAAUUGUCCAGAUUGGAGUCCGCCACAGCAAGAUCCAGUUGGACAGGCUGACCAACAGCAUGAUGAGGAUGAGGAGGAUGAACUAAUCAUGGCCAAAGGAAAGGGCGGCAAGGGCAGGAUGCAGUAUGUGAACCGUGAGGUCAAGGUCAAGGUCAAGGUCAAGCGGAAGCGGAAGGGCAAGGACAAGGACAAAAGCUAGUGUGUUGGUUUUACUGGUGCUGCACAUAGUUCUUGGUUAUACUUCUUCUGCACAUUAUUCUGGGUGGUUUUGAGUUUCCCCCUUGGAAGAUGGCCCAGUCAAUUAAUUGGGGGUGCUCUAAAAUUGCUUUCCAUGUUCUCUACCAUUUUGAAUUCGUUGAACUGAAAAUUGCAUUGCUCCUUGUGUUGCAAGUCCUAGUCAAAAGUUCAUUAUUACAAUUACCUUCAAGUGGAUCUGCUCUUUGCUUAUGGAAAAAAUUUCAGAGUGUGGUAGUCAGCAACAGUGUGAAUGGAAGGAGAUGCCUAAUUGUACCACAGUAGCAGUUGAUCAAGAUAUAAGAUGUGGGCAUGCCACUAGCGAGUCAGCCAUACCACCUGACAGUAAUAGUGUGUAAAAAUAUGAAACCCUAGAAUUAUGUGUUGUUGUAUGUUGUUUGAUCUGACCCUUGUGCAGGGUACAUAUAGGAGUACAAGAGGGGUAGAGACUUGGAGUACAAGACAAGUCACAUGUGGUUUAAACUAAUUCUAUCUUUAUCUCCUUAUCUCUAACUUAAACCCAAUUAUAUUUCUAACAUUCCCCCUCAGUCGUAGCGGGAGCGAAGCGGACGAGUACGAAUGGAUUUGAAGUCUUGCGCUUUCGUCGUCUUCUCCGCUGCGCCAUCAUCAACUGCGUCUCUGAUGGGUUGGCACCUAGGGCGGUGACUGCGUCCCCUUCUGGUGGAGUUGUUGCCGAUAUGUUGCUGUAGACGUAGCCAUUAAUGUCAAUGUCGAGGUAGCCGAUCAUGGUGAUGUAGCCGUGGUCGAGGUAGUCGUGGUCGAUGGUGUGGCCGUCAUGGAUGAUGAAGCCGCACAAAGCCGAAGGCGCAAAAAAAUGCGCUAUGGCGGGGCUGCAGACGUGGACGAUACACCUUGCGGAUGUCAGAGGGUGUCGUCGGCGAUGAGUCCGCCGGUUUUGCCAAGACCGGAGGAAGCCCAUCGAGCACACAUCGGUUUUGCCAGAACCGUGUGGCCAUAUAGGGUCGUCACUAUAGUGACGCCGUGUCGAUGCAGUCGUAUUGUCGUGGAUGACGCGGUCGAUGCCGUCGUCGUGGUCGCGCCUUGCAGAAAAAAAUCUGUCAGAGGACGCUAGUUGUCCAUCCUGUGGACGAGGCGGUGGCGGUGUGUCGACGAUGAUGUUGGUGAAGACCAUGUUGAUGAAGACCUUGGCGAUGAAGUGUCGGUGGUGCAGCGCCACCGACAUGUCGACAAUGAUGCGUCGCUUGGAGGCGUCCCUCGUGGCGACGGGGUGUCGAUGUCGUGUCGUGCUGAAGAAGUCGAUGAAGAAUUGCAUCUCGUUCCACACCGGCCUGGCGUGUGAACAGUGCAUAUUGAGGUCGCUUCUAGUAGGUGUGGUCGAUGAAGUAUGUUGGCUCGCGGACGGGCUAGUCGUACAGGUCGAUGAAGUGGCACAGGGUUGAUGCAGAGGCGUCGAUCGGUGGUGUAGAUGUCGAUGCAAUUGCAGCAGGCCGGCUCGGUGUAGAUGUGUUCGGCUUGGUGUAGUUCGGCUUGUUGGCGCGCAGGAGAUCGAUCGAGUCGGCCUGAUAGAGAUCGCGUCCGUGCGCGUGCAGUGUAGUCGAUGCAGAUCGUAAUUUGUGGGCUUGAUGCAGAUGGUUCAAUCGCUCGAUGCAGUUUGCCGUCGCGGUGCAGAUCGUUGUUGGUGUAGUCCCGAAACAGAAGUCGAUGUAGAGACAAUCCGUGUACGACCGGAGGCAUGGCCGACUAUCGGAGAUCCGAUCGAUCGAAGGCACCAGUAGUCGUCUGUAGACGCGUACGUGUAGACGAGACUGAAGCUUCAUCUGAGUGCAUGCACGUACCUCGGGCUACUGGUUGCUUCGUGUCCCACGUCCUGGGAGGCUGCGCAUGCACAUGGCCAAGUGCAUGAAUCAUAUGUGUGCGCAUCUGUUGAUGGAGCACUGCGCGUGUGUGCAUCCACCUCCACGACAAGCUCGCCAUACCUGUCUCUAUAGGUGCCGAGACAGCGCCGCCUUGGGUCGCGGCCGUAUAAGCCGCAUGCGGCCUGAAGUGAUCUGGACGAGGAUUUCUACACAACUUUCUCACCGAAUUUGAGGGUUGAGGGAUUUAUUGGUCGUGGCUACAGGAAACCAAUCUACUGGAAAUUCAAAAUUUGUGUAAUCUAACCUAUGAAUCGAUCUAAUCUAUAGAACCGAUCUCAUCUUUGACGAUCGGGUGCCCCGCCCCCAAGGAGAGGAGAUUAAUCUCCCCGGGAGCGGCGAGCUGCGGAAGCGGUGGAAGGUCCUAGGAUCGGCGUCGUUGGACAAACCGCUCUAAUACCAUGUAACAAUAUGAAACCCUAGAAUUAUGUGUUGUUGUAUGUUGUUUGAUCUGACCCUUAUGUAGGGUAUAUAUAGGAGUACAAGAGGGGUAGAGACUUGGAGUACAAGACAAGUCACAUGUGGUUUAAACUAAUUCUAUCUCUAUCUCCUUAUCUCUAACUUAAACCCAAUUAUAUUUCUAACAUAGUGCUUGGAAUCAGGUGGUCCGUUGGGAGGUACUACUCUUCAUGCUAUGGAAUCACAUAUGCUGCGAUUAUUUGUUCCUGUCUCAACCUCUCCUGGUUACACCAUUGUCAAUUAUCUGUGCAAUGUGAGCUUGAAUUGGUACUUGGGUGAGGUGCUCUGGGAUGUUAAGCAAUGGUGGUUGUAUGCAGUCAGCCCAAGCUUUCUUGAGACUUUAGGCAUGAGUGUUCUGAUAUGGGAAUUUCCUUGCAAGUGAGUGUUCAGAUCACCAGUACAGAUGGCAUGAGUGUUCUGAUCUGGGAAUUUUUAUCUCCUUGGAGUAACCUACAGGAAGGUGACACUAGUGGGACUGAAGCCAUGGAUUUCUUGGGAAUGUUUCUCUCUGGAAGAAUUUUCCAGCUUGCCAUAUUCUCUGUACUGGUGAUGUACGGAAGUGGUAGACGCACUUCAUUAUCUGCAGCUAUUUGAGGACAAAGUUGAAGCUUGGGUUUAGGAUGUUGUGCAACCUCCAUAGGAUUCCGGUGGCGCCAUACAACAUCGACUUGUGGGCAAGUCGAAUCUUAUGUGGGAGGGAUUGUUAGUGACCCUUCCUCUGACAUGGUGGGCCAUCGUCAUCAGGUGGGACCCAACACAGUUGGUACAAGGAGGUAACUAUAAGCUGGCGAGGAAGGACAUCAGGAAGCUAGGCUUGGAACAGAAUGACGGCUUUGGACGAGGCUUGUGUUGGCUAGGAUAGUUCCUGUUCAUCUUCUUCCUCAUGGUGAUUGAGUGGAAUAGAUAGGGAUCCUCAAAACUCCACUGGAAAUUUCCAGGUCUGAUAAGAGAUGGGGCAAUGAGUAGUGCACUCGUGAUGCUACAUGAUCAGAGAUCAGUGAUGGAAAUGGUCAAGCAUAUCACUAAUGCAGGUGUGAUGGACAUAUACAGCAAGAUACCUGAAGAUUUUUCAGAGGAAAUGCAUAGUGACUGCGAGUAUGCACAAGAGCAGCAACAACAUUCAGCUGGAGAAGGGCAGCAAGAACAUUCAGUUGGAGAAGAGCAGCAGCAACAUUCAGUGGAGCAGCAGCAACAUUCAGUGGAGCAGCAGGAAAGUGUAGGUGCAACUGAGCAGCAGUAUACUGCAAAUGCAGAGGAACAGCAGCAAGAGGCAGGUGCAGAGGAUCAUAUGGAAGAACCUUGGCAAUUUUCUGACAUGUAUUAUCAUCCUGGUAGGAUUUCUAACUUACCAGUGAGAAGAGGAAAAUCCGUUGUAGCUGAGGAGGAAGUAAACAUUGGUAAUCAUGAAUCUGAUAGUGACUAUGCUAUCCCCCUGCAGAGAGCAACAUCUCAGCAUCUGAUGAUGAAGUCUUGGAGCAUCUGAUGCAAGAAGAAGAGAAGAAGGUGAGAAACCACAGGGGAACAGGUUUUCAAAGAAAGGCAUUAAAAUUGGGGCGUGGAGUAUGUGAUCGUGAGCUCACAAGAGCUCGUUAUCUGUCCCGUCCAGUAUAACUUUGCGAUUCGUUGUAUUGAAUGCCUCUGACGGGUUGUGAGUCCAUCUAGAACAGAUAAAUUGAUAUAUGCAUGUGUACAGACCUGACUGGUGGGUCCUGUUCUACGCAGAUGUUGGGACGCCGCGGAUGGAGUGAGGCAGGGCCGUGGCUUGAGAUGCCACCGGUGUCCUGGUCCAUGGAUCAGAUCCUGUGCUCUCUGGUAACGACGGCAAUAGAUGGAGUAAAUGCAGGAGUGGGUUGCUGAGAGCAGCUGUCUCCUACCUCCCGAGAUUGGAUGCUCCAUUGGUGAAAGCGGCGAACCGGUGGAGGAGCCUCCUCCGACAAGGCGACUGGGCGCACCGGCGAGCAUGGAGUUCUUGAUGCAUCCAAUAAAUAGGUACUGAUCUGUUCGCUAUUGCUGCUGAUUCGCUACCGUUUUGAUUUAGGAUUUCCAGAAGAUUUGAUUUGUUUGCCGACUCUCUGUGCAAGCAGCAGAACUCUGCUAGAGGAGGUGAACGAGAACAACAUUGCCAUGGAGCCUCUUCACUACCCUGUGAGCACGCCGCCGGUGGUUGAGCUGCCGGCCAUGACGGCAUCAAAUGCAGAUGGCUAGAUCUGUGCUGAGGACGCUGCUCCAGACGGGUGCAGUGCAGAUAAGGCUCAAGCUUCAGAGCACUUCAUAGAUCAGGUUGACCCGAAAACUCCUGGCAGGACGCAAUGGUAUGCAGAAUAAGAUUGAAAAAUAACUUCAUUUGGGUUCGAACAUUGAGAUGGCCCUAUGUUGUAAAGCUAUAGUGUACACAUAUAUAUUCCAGUAGUGAUUAGAAUCACUUAUUGAAUGUCCAAAACUGAGCUUGCGUAAAAAGAAUUAAGUCUGUACAAAAUUAUCUAUGCCAUAACUAGUGAAUAUACUGGAACGAUUCUGGUGCAAACAUGAUGUGUGAAGGAUGAUAAAUUUAGUCGCUUUCACUCUAAAAGGGAACCGAUUCUCUGAACAUAUUUUCAUGCUAGCAGGUUUAUUUCCUCCAGCUAAACACAAGGAAAAUGGGAGGCCUAACACAAGUAGGGAGAAGGCACUGUAUGAAGGGUUAAGUAAAUGGACCAGAUUCUGCAGCAUAUGUCGGCAGCAAGGUCACAAGCAAACGGCCUGUCCAGAUCGAUGUACUGAAGCAGCCUCGCAAGCCAUCAAGGUAAGACUGAAGUAAUUGAUCAAUUUGGGGUACUUUAAUGAUCAGGUCCUUAGUUGUGUUCUAUCUGUAUAAUUAAGAUUUGUUGAGACUGUAUGAUUAUAACUUGUGUGUUACUCCUCUGCCUAGAAAAUAAAAUGCUUUUUAUUCGGCUUGCCUGGAUAGUUUCAGACUUAUAAGAGUGUUUGCCAAUGCUGAUGUUGUACUUUUUAUUACUGAAUUAAAUGUGUUGACUAUUAAUGAAUUGAUUCGAUGACUAGCUGUAGAUUGUGUUGUUCAGGUGAACUUGAUCCGCAGAUUUGAGGUGGUGUGUGAUACCAGUUAUUUCAAAAUCCAGCUGAUACAUGCUUUGAGUAACCAAAGACAGACAUAUGGCAUGUUUUGGGUCAAACAAGUUAAUUAAUGCAUUUAGUAGUGUUCCGUCAGGUGGAGCUAUCCUCGUGAGCGAGCUUGCAUUCGAAAUUCAAACAUCGUGGGCGGUAGAAGUGCAAAUGGUAAGAAACCUAUCUAUUAACUACAACAUCUUGAAGCUUUGGUUGCAUAGUGAUAACGUUAUGAAUUGAUGCAGAAAUGGAGGUGCCCUUCAUCGACUUGGUAACGAGUGUCCCGAUAACACAAACUGAGGAUCUUGGACCGGCGGCAAGUAUUCUCUACUCCCUCCGUCCCAUAAUGUAAGAUGUUUUUUGACACUGGGACGGAGUAGUAAAAAACAAUAGAAUAAGCUCGUGUAGAGGAUGGUAGACUAAGCUAUGCUGAUUGCAGAGGUGGAGGUGCCUUUCAUUGACUUGACCACAAGCAGUCUAGAUACAGAUGUGGACACAGGGGCUCCGCCUGGUAUGUCUGAUGCUCAUGUUGCAUAUGUUUGUUGAGCAAGAUCAAUCUUUGGAAACUGAUAAAAAAUGUCUUCUUGGUUAAACAAAUGACGCAGCGAGAUUGGCGCCUGUAAAGACAGAGGAUACAUCGGAUUGCCUAAAGUUUCAGACUGUCAUUGGUGGUAAGCAAGUUUGCAUAUGAACAUGUUCCAUGUAUGCGUUUUGCAAGGCUAUGUACAUUUGAAUAUGAGAAAACAACAUCUUGCAGGAGAACAAGUUAUUGGCUCUACCCCUGGCAAUUGAUGUACCUAUAGCAGCUCCUCACAGACGAGUAGAAGCAAUGCCAACAAUUCCGGCACAAGGUGGGUACACUGGAGGUAUAUUUCAAAACUGAUGUUCAUAAAUCACGUAGAUUCUGCUUGUAUGAAAACAAACUUUGCAAAUUAUGACAUGAACUGAGUGCUGAAAAUUAUGUUGGCGUAGGCAUGGAAGAGCAUGUCGUUCUAAUGUCACAGACAAGGAAUAAUGCAGAUGUUAUAGAGAUUGUGGUCAGACCGUCCGGCAAUAAAAUUGAACAGAGCACUCAGUGCUUGAAGUUUGAGACAAUGAUAGACGGUAAGUUCUGUAUCUGAAUGUGUGUAUAUCAUUUUGUGAAGUAGUUCAUGGUGGCUGAUUGCAUGCCAAAUCCAAUUUGUAUUUAGUAGGGCUGGCAUGUGUGGGGUCAUCACCACCACAAGGUUUUAGAAGCACUUCGCAAGCGCGAGGGAGUCAUUGCGUCUGAUCAAGUUAGGUCUGGUGAACCCAGAUGUGCUUCUAUUACCUAAUUCUGUACGGUCAUUCUAUACAAUGUAAAUGAUGCCAUGCUAACUCAAAUUGAUGGGUGGCCUGCAAUGCAGCCAGGUCAGAUGGCAAGCUGCCAUUGAACAUGUCGGCAGCAGCAGGCAUUAGGAGGCGGCAGAAGAGGUGUGCAAACAGGGGCAGCAGGCAGUAUCGUCAGAGGAGAUGCCUAACGCCAUCAAGCAGGCAUUUGUCACCUCGAAAAGCUCUGAUGAAUAUGAAGAUCCGGCUGCAAUCAAGCUACAGGUAUUGGCAGAGCUGAACUUUAGCAGUGAUAUUUGUUCACUUUGGAAAAUAGUAGUACUAAUCAUUAUGUUUGUCAGGUGCCACACCCAGGAAAGAGGACAAAGAAGCAAGCAGGGCCUACUCCAGCAAGGCCAACAUCAGUGCCCAGAACUGCUUCUCAACCAGUUGGAAGGGGAAGCCGGAGGAGUCACAACAGGGCAGGUUGAAGCUACAGAUAGCCUGCUCCAGGAGUUCAAGCUCACAGCAAGUCCGAAGGCAUAACAGCACUG